This 72104-nucleotide long non-coding RNA is filed under the name Triticum aestivum (bread wheat). RNAcentral describes it as "long non-coding RNA (TAES_LNC012561)". Lineage: Eukaryota; Viridiplantae; Streptophyta; Magnoliopsida; Poales; Poaceae. The record is from RNAcentral.
AUAAAUGGCACAUAUACAUGACCAAGGACGGGAGGAUUUCGUUGGCAGGGUUGAACCUGGCGAAGUGCGAGUACCUUGCCGAUGCCAUCAUCGACUCCUUCCACAAUGUCAACUAGAUUAUGAUUUGCGUCGCGGCCACGAUACCGCGAUUAGUUCCUUCUAUAGUUUGCUGGGAUUUUUGGGUCCUUCCAGCUCGAGUUCUUAGUCAGGAUGUUGACGACGUGUCCGGUAAUUCAGAGGUAAUAAAUAAUCCGGCAAAACUCACGAAUGCUUAGCACUUGUACGGUCCUUACAAGUUUGUAAUACUCUACUAAUUAAUUAUAUAUGAUGGCAUCGUGUUCGCAAAAAAAUAUACGAUGGCAUCUGCAAGUAGCCUUUUUUGUGCCAUCUCAAAGUUUAUUUUUCCUUUUUGGUUGGAGGUAGUAUUAUUAUUUCUUUUUAGCACCAACUCUGAAGAUUCUUGGACCACCCCCCAUACCAUAGCCAUGGUAGUUUCUCUAGUGCGUCGUUUUUUACAAUCUUUGUUUCUUCCAUGAGCAAUGCCUGGAGGCCAUCAAAAUGGAUCCAGGCCUCUAAAAUGUGCUGCGAAGUCUAAGGGACAUUAUGUGAAGGGAAAAAUGGCAGGUUUCUGAUGGCAACUCUUGAGGUCCUGCCUUUGAGUGGUGGUUGCUCGUGUGGAGCUGGUUUUCCUCUCAAUGGAGGCAGCCAGUUCAACCAAGCCCUUCUUUCUGCCCUGUGCAAAACCUUUCUUCAUGGAGGUCCUUGCCGGCCAUGCCCGGCAGCAGCGCAACCCCCCGUCGUCCGCCGCCGCCGCCGCCCCCUGUCCUUUUGCACAAGAGGUCUGGUCUCUGUUUAGCCAGUCCAACCCUGAACCCUGAGAUUUAUCAGAGAAGUGCCAAAGGAUGCCAGAAAAGAGGCUCCUGUGUCCACAUCACAUGAUCAAUGGACCCUUGUUCAAGUCCACUGACAUAUGAAUUUGUCCAAUGCGGAUCUUAAAUCCGGUAUAAUCACCAUAUGUUCCAGAGAAGCUGUCCGAGAAGCUCAUUUCGAACUGAGAGCGUGAAGAGGCUGUGGCAACUCGAGAAGUCCGGAGAUUCAGCAAAUGCUAACUUGCUAGUAGUAGAAAUAGUUCAAACUACAGACUGCGGUCCGUUGAGCCAGUUGGUCUUUGCUAAAGGAAAUAUUAAUGGCGCCAUGAUCUGAAGACUUUACAUCAGCUCUUGAGGCUGACUGAAUUCUUCAGAUGCAGUUAGUUAGGUCGUGUUUGGUUCUCUAGUCCUAGGGCUUUUUCUAGUCCCUAGGACUUUUUGAAAAAGACUCUCAAGAAAGUGCUUCUAAGGAUUUUUAGCAAAAGGUCCCCCCUGUUUGAUUUGCUAGGGACUUUUUUUUAGUCCCAACACAAAAAAGUCCCUGGAACCAAACACCCCCUUAGUACUUCGUCUUUAACACUUCCUUUGUGAUCCGUUGGAUUUAAUCACCGAUUUCGAAGCGGAUAUGGGCAUCUAAUACUGUUAGGAAACAAAUCAGACGCAAAUCUAUUAGUAGUACCAACUGCAUCCAUGCAGUUAUACCUAUUUUCUUCUCUAAAACACCGAUCAAGAGGAGUCUGUAAUCACAACAAUGGAUGCAAAUCCACCCAAGAAGAAGAGGAAGAUCUGUACCGACGAGACAGCGGCGGCGCUGGCACUGCCCGACGCCGUCGUCCUCGAUAUUCUGGAGAGGCUGCCCACCGACGACGUCCUCCGAUUCCGCCGCGUAUGCACCGCCUGGCGCGCCACGGUCGACCGCGACCCCGCCUUCGCCCGCGCGCACCUGCGGCGCUGGCGGGCGGAGACGCUCGUGGUCUCGCCGUGCGGCCCCGGGACGGGCCCGUUCCUCAGGAUACACCGGUACCGUGAGUCCGGCGACCGCGGCGGGCCCGUGUCGCGGGUCCAGCUCCGCUCCCCGCGGAGCUUCGACCGCAGCAUCGUGCACUGCGACGGCGUCCUCCUCGUCUGCAGCGCCGCGGAGCUGCUCGCGUGGAACCCGGCCACCGGCGAGUCUGUGCGGCUCCCGCGCGGCGCGCCCAGCUGCGUCGGCGACGGCGUCGACCGCCUCGGCUUCUGCUACGACGCCGCCGCGCGCGCGCUCAAGGCGGUCCGCCACUACUACCGCGUCCACGACGUCCUGGCGGGGGCGUACAGCCUCGGCGUCGAGGUGCUCGCGCUAGGCCAGGGCCAGGGCACGCCGUCGUGGCGCCCGGCCGCCCGUGACCCGCCGUGCCCGAUCUACGGCACGGCCCCCGCGUCCGUCGGCGGCGCCGUGUACUGGGUCAUCGACAACAGCUUCCUCGACAGCGGCGGUGGCGGCUCCCAGGCCCAGCCUGGAGCGUCCACCCUCCUCUCCUUCGACGUGACGAGCGGCGAGUACAGCGUCAUCGACGGCCCGCCGUGCCGGUGGAGGUGCCAGGACGUGGCGCUGGGCAACGUGGGCGGCGCGCUGUGCGUCGUCGUGACGUGGAACAGCCGGCUAGGCACGGUGUGGCGGCGCACGGCGGCGGGGACGUGGACGCAGGUCCUCAGGUUGGACACGGGCUACAUACUGCAUGCGCGCCUGGCCCCGGUGGGGAUGUGCGAGAGCACGGGGGAGAUGCUGCUGCUCGCGGCCCGAUGCAUGUACCGGAAAGGCACGGUGUACCACUGCUGCAUCGCCGGCACCGGAAGCGGAAAGGCGCGCGCGGUGGUCGACGUUAGAGGGCAGCUUAAACUCUGCGAACGUGACUCCGUCGCCGGGACGCUCGUGUUCAUGUACACGCCGUCCCUGAUAAAGAUUGCUGGUUGAUUAAAACGCUUUCAAUUAGCAUGUCAUAGGCUUUUUUGUUAGAACUGGCAUGUCAUAGGCUAGGCUAGUCCAUGCGGAUCCUUUUUCUUUCGAGAGUACGUCAAUGACGUACCUUAUCUUUAUAAAAGAGAGCAAACAUAUUUACAAUGCUUGGAGGAGAUGCGAGCAUUCCUCAAGUCAUUACACAUACCUAUGUCCAACGUCCUCAUUUUAAGGCUACUCUCUCACAAAACGUUGUAAACCACCCACACCUACUCCUGCACUCCGCCAUUCCUCUAUCUCUUGCAAGAUCAUGUGCUUGAGGUUUUGCAUUGUCUGGACUUGAUUUGCCGAGUUGAACACCCCAUCCGGACCUUUUAAGAUGCACGUCUAUUAGAUUGGUGCUGUUCUUUGGAACAUGGGGUCAAUGCACCCCGAAUUCGAAAAUUAUUUUAAAAUAAAUAGAAAACAGUAUAAACUUCCUGAAACUUUUUUUUAACAAACAUGGCCUAGUGUAUUACUCGUGUAAAAAGUUUCGCGGAAGAAUGACUCUCAUGGUAUCCUCAACAAAAAAAAAGAAUUUUGAAGUCCAAAAAAAUAUCAAUAUUAACUUUUAUAUAGUACUAGUUUUUUUAUGUGGGAAUACCAUGGUAGUCAUUCUUAAAAAAUGCUACACAUACCAAAGCUUCCCGCAUGUGCCUAAUGAUGUGUGAAUGGAUGAUGUAGUCCUCCGCAUCACCUUUGCCGGUAUACCUCCGCCUCAUCGAGCCACCAUGACAGAGACAAUGCCGCCUGCUUCAUCGCCGCCGCCACGGUGGCCGCCUCCUCGCACUUGGUCUCGGGGAUGGACGCGACCUCCUCGCCAGGUAGCGGCACGGCUCGUCGAAGUCGUGUGUGAGGGAAUCCUGAAUUAUGGGGUCCUCGGGUAGUCGGCUUAUGUUACAUGGGUCGGACUAAUGGGCCGUGAAGAUACAAGACAGAAGGCCCUUCCUCGUGUCCGGAUGGAACUCUCCUUUGCGUGGAUGGCAAGCUUGGCGUUCGGAUAAUGUAUUUUCCUUUCUCUGUAAACCGACUAUGUACAACCCUAGGCCCCUCCGGUGUCUAUAUAAACCGAAGGGUUUAGUCCGUAGUGGAAGAAUCACAAUCAUACAGGCUAGAUAUCUAGGGUUUAGCCAUUACGAUCUCGAGGUAGAUUAACUCUUGUAACCCCUAUACUCAUCAAAGUCAAUCAAGCAGGAAGUAUGAUAUUACCUCCAUUAAGAGAGCCUGAACCUGGGUAAAUAUUGUGUCCCCUGCCUCCUGUUACCUUCGGUCCUCAGACGCACAGUUCGGGACCCCCUACCCGAGAUCUACCGAUUUUGACACCGACAUUAGUGCUUUCAAUGAGAGUUCCGCUGUGCCGUCACUAGAAGGCUCGAUGGCUCCGCCGAUCAUCUAUGACAAUACCGCCUCGAGGGAGAUCUCCCCCCCCCCCCAACCAAAUUUUCGUAUUCGGCGGCUUCACACUGCGCGCCAACUCGAUUGGCCAUCUGGAGCAGAUCGACAGCUAUGCCCCUGGUCAUCAGACCAGUUUCGGAAACCUAAAUUAUGUCGCUGAUAUCCGAGGAGACUUGAUCUUCCAAGGGUUCGCGGCCCCAACCACCGCUCUGGCCUUAGAUCCGAAGCGCAUUCCCGGGUCCGAAGACGGGAGUUUAGAGCCCGCCGGACUCUCUUCAGCUAUAGAGCUUGAUAUCGGAGAACCAGAGGGGAUCGCAUCACCGGCGGGCUCGGAGCCACGCCAGGCUCCCUUUAUCAUCAUAAAGCCGGAUUCUCCUCCGUACACUAGCUUCGAACUCUCGAGGUCCGCGUCAUGUGAGCUUGGCCAGGGAACUUCUGCCCCGCCUGAGGGAGUCCUGAAUUAUGGGGUCCUCGGGGAGCCAACCUAUGUGACGUGGGCCAGACUAAUGGGCCACGGAGAUACAAGAACAGAAGGCCUCCUCCCGUGUCCGGAUGAGACUCUCAUUUGCGUGGAUGGCAAGCUUGGCGUCCGGAUGUAUAGUUUCCUUCCUUUGUAAACCGACUUGGAACACCCUCAGUCCCCUCCGGUGUCUAUAUAAACCAGAGGGUUUAGUCCAUAGGGACAAUCACAACCAUACAUGCUAAACAUCUAGGGUUUAGCCAUUACGAUCUCGAGGUAGAUCAAUUCUUGUAACCUCUAUAUUCAUCAUAGUCAAUCAAGUAGGAAGUAGGGUAUUACCUCCAUUAAGAGGGCCCGAACCUGGGUAAACAUCGCGUCCCCUGCCUCCUUGUUACCUUCGAUCCUUAGACGCACAGUUUGGGACCCCCUACCCGAGAUCUGCCGUUUUUUACACCGAUAUUGGUGCUUUCAUUGAGAGUUUCUCUGUGCCGUCGACAGAAGUAUUGAUGGCCCGCCUUGUCAUCAAAGACAACAUCACUUCUGAAGAGGCCCUGGUUUCAGGGCAAACUCUCUGACUCAGCAGCUUCAUUAUGGGCGCUCGCCCGACUGUUAAGCCAGAAGCAGCCCAAUUCAUCGCCAAAAAUCGCCUCCGUAUCGGCCUUGAAUACUACGACAAGUUGUAUCUGGCAGAUGUUUCGGCAGAACUGCUAGAUCGCAUCGCCGCCCUGGGGGUCGCAAUCGACUAUGACCGGAUUGGGCUUAAACCCGAUCAGAGAGAAAUCAGAUCUCCGCCGAUCACCCAUCACGUGGCAAUCAUGGAGGAACAAGCCGACGAUGACUCUUCUCCCUCGUUGAGGACAAAGUAUGUUUAGGUUUCCGAACCCGGAGAGCCAGACUCCCGUCUUCUGGAAGACACUUCUUGUCCUCCAAACAUGGAAUCGGGCGCUGAGCCUAAAAACACGUCGGAUGCUCCAGAGCCCAGGCCUUUAACCUCGGAAAUUCUUUGGAAUCCGGACUCCUCAGCGGGUCAGGGUUCGGAUUCGAUCCCACCCACCCACCACAAGCAAUAUUCCCCGAGCAACUAUGGUCCUUCGGACAUAUGCGACUUAAUGUAUGUACGGCAGCAGCCCCAGGAAACAGUCCACCACUUUUGGGCUAGAUUCCUGCUUGUUAAAAACAAGAUCAAGGACUGCUGCGACAACGAUGCGAUCUCAGUAUUUUGCAACAAUUGCACAUAUGAGGGAAUCCUGAACGCCCUCAACCGCCAUCGUGUACUGCACUUUGCCGAUUUGGCACACAUAGUACAGAAGUACUAUGCAAUGGAAAGCGCCUGGAAAACCCAAACAGCCCGCUGGGAACCGCAGGCCUUUAGGCCAUCCCCGGGACGGGCAAUGAGGAUGCACCCCCACGGAGCACCUAAUCAUCAUCCCAUGGACAAGAAAAUUAAACCCUUUACGGGGCAUAAAACUGUCCUUGAGGAAUGGCUCGACAAACCUUGCCAAAUUCACAUGACACCGGACAACGAACCAACGCAUAGCCUUCGAGCAUGUUGGAUACUCCGGCAGGUGGCCAAAAGCGGCAAGGGUCUCCUCACUAACAACACUCCAGAGAACUAUUCUUUGGAGGACAAUGAUCCCAAAGUAUUCACGGUCUUCGAGACCUUUCCAUCGAAUAAUCGGCGCAAGAGAGCGCUCCGCGACCUCGCCGAAGUCUACCACGCGGCAGCAGUAAACCCUUGGAACGACACGCCUAUCACUUUUAACGCCGAUGACGAACCAAGAGCCCGCUCAGUCCGGGCACCAGCCACUUUGGUCCUAAACCCAAUUGUAGAUGGCUUCCGCCUCACUAAAGUGCUCAUGUUUGGCGACAACGGACUGAACCUCAUUUACGAGGACACACUCAAUAAAAUGCAAAUGUACAGGAGUAGCAUUGAGCAAAGUAACACAACCUUUCACGAUAUUAUCUCCAUCCGAGAAGCCAGAUGCUCGGGAAAUAUCAAACUCGAUGUGGUAUUUGGCACGCCGGAGAAUUAUAGGUCUGAAGAGCUACUCUUCCAUGUUCCACCAUUUAAUAGCAGGUAUCAUGCUCUGCUGGGGCAAGACGCAUUCACACGCUUCCAAGUUGUACCCCAUUACGGGUAUAUGAAGCUCAAAAUACCCGAGCCCAAUGGAAUCAUCACUAUAGCCAGCGAUCCAGACAUAGCCCUCCGAGCCAAAAACAAAAUUGCAUCUCUAGCCCUUGAGGCGUCAUCCGAGGCCCUCGCGGCCGAGGAAUUGACCACUCUAUGUUCCACAGUAGACAGGGACAUUGUAAUCCUCGAUAAGAGACCAAAGUCUACCUCCUUCAAGCUGGCUGACGAGAUAGUCAAAUUUCAAGUCCACCCGACGGACCCCAAUAAAACAACUUCCAUUGGGGCACAUCUGGAUCCGACGGUGGACGUUGCAUUACGCGCAUUCUUGCCAGGUAUCCCACGAAGACUAGUCGAACAUAGUCUCAAUAUAUUGAAAGGACACAAACCAGUCAAACAAACUCUUCGUCGAUUCUCCGAACCCAAACGACAAGCCAUGGGGGAGGAGCUAGCCAAGUUACUCGAAGUCGGGUUCAUCAGAGAGAUCAAACAUCUGGACUAGCUAGCAAACCUGGUCAUGGUACCUAAGAAGGAUAAAUCCUGGCGCCUGUGUGUCGAUUUCAAAGACCUUAACAAGGCUUGCCCCAAGGACCCCUUCCCACUACCUCGAAUCGACCAAAUUAUCAACGCACACUACAAAAAAAAUACACAUCCGUGAUGAUACGUGUUUGUCACAGUAGGUCGCGUUUUUUGUCAUGCAUGUACAUCCAUGACGAUUUUAUGACAGAAUCAAGAUAGUCAUACUUGUGCUGUCGUAGAAGUGUUCCAUGACAUUACCAAAAUUAUCAUCACGGAAGUUCCACUUCCAUGAUGAUAAAUCGCGCGUCACAAAAGUGCUUUCGUCAAGGGUGACCGACACGUGGUAUCCACCAUAACGGAACGCCGCUAAGCUAUCGGGUCAGGUUUUGGAUCCGAUAACCCAUUAACAGCCCCGACCAAUGGGGAUUUUCCACGUGUAAAAUCAUCAUUGGCUGGAGGAAACACGUGUCGGCUCAUCAUUGGGACAGAUGUCAUCCACUCAUUGGACGGAAGGCGCCUAUGAUACGUCGACAUGUGGCACGACCCAACAGAGGCCCAUUCCUGUGAAAAGGCCGGCCCGUUUGACUUGGUCAAAAGGUGGCGGGCCGGCCCAUGGAAAGCCUGUUAACGGCCUGUUCGCAUAUAGCCCAUUUAUAUCCCGCUAACCCAAGGCCCGUUACGCCCUAUCCGAAUUAGGCCCAGUAGCGUCAUCUGGGCCACCCAAUAUGAUUCCAGCCCGUUUUUACUUCUGGCGCAUGUAUGGCCCAUGAAGUCUUUCGACCCAUAUGAGGCCCUAUGUAACUCUUGGCCUAUUAAUGGCCCGUGGUGAAACUGGCCCGUAAUGAACAGUGUAUCACUUUACACCCAUUAACGGCCCAUGGUGAAACUGGCCCGUAAUGAACAAUGUAUCACUUUAUACCCAUUAACGGCCCGUUAUUCCGUUGGGCCGUUUCCAGCCCAUGUUAUCUUUCGGCCUUCUCAGAGCCCAUUUAUUCUUGGGCUCAUUUCCAGCAUUCGUUUACUUACGGUCUGUUACUGUCAUUUUCUGCUUGUGGGCCAAAUUCAGCCCGUGGUUAUAGUCGGCCUGUUUGUGGUCCGUUAAUACGUUGGGCCGUUUUCAUAGCGUCAUCAAAUACGGCCUAUUAACGAUGGCCCGUUAUGGUCGGCCCAUGAACGGACGAUUCCAACUCUAGCCCUUUACGGCCAUAAUGUGGUUUGUUUGGCCCAUGUUUGGCUAAUCGAUCAUACGGCCCGUAUAAGGCCCAUUGAUGAUACGGCCUGUAGAAGGCCCAUUGUUUCUAUGGCCCGUAGAAGGCCCACUGUUUCUACGGCCAGUAGGAGGCCCAGUGUCACUACACUAAAUAUUAGCCCAUGGUUAUUGUGGCCUACUUUCAAAAAAUAGGUUAUUGCAGCCACUAGCAAAGCGCGGAAAAAAAACUGCAGUGACUACAAGAAAACAAAUAAACAAGGCAACAAGGAAAUAAAUAAGCAAGCAACUAACGCUAGGCUAUUACACAUAUUACAUCCACUGCGCAUCAAAGUUCGCCACCAUUGCAAAUAUAGGGAACAAAGCAGCAUAUCAUAUACACUGGUUGUCAAAGUUGGCGACCAACACAAAUAAACGCCGCAGCAAAACAAAUCCAGAACUGAAACCACUUCAGAAGAUCUCAAGAAACAAUAUCUUGGGUACCAUAAUGCUGGCAAGAUGCUUAGCAAGCUUAUUAACUUUCUCUUGUUUGGCGCUUAAAUCCUCCAGCGCUUGCUAUUGCACCAGAAAAUAUGCAUCUGAAUUCUGCAGGGACUUCCUCAGCCCUUCAGCUUCCUGUCGCAGCACAUCUGAUCGAUGUCUUUCAACUUGAAGUUGAGACUCAAGAAGAUGAACUGAUUCAGGCAGCGAGUUCGAAGAGCUUGUGCCAGCAGUAGUGGCCAGUAACUCGAACACUACAUCAAGACAUGACUUUUGGGUUCCCUCACUGUUGUCAAGAUAGUUUUUAUCAGCUUUCUGUUGGGGAACGUCGCAGAAAACAAAAAUUUUCCUACUCGUUUCACCAAGAUCAUCUAGGAGUUCAUCUAGCAACGAGUGAUUAGAUGCAUCUACAUACCUUUGUAGAUCGCGAGCGGAAGCGUUCAAAAGAACGGUGAUGAUGUAGUCGUACUCGACAUGAUCCAAAUCACCGAUGACCAGCGCCGAACGGACGGCACCUCCGCGUUCAACACACGUACGGAACAGCCACGUCUCCUCCUUCUUGAUCCAGCAAGGGAGGGAGGAGAGGUUGAGGGAGAUGGCACCAGCAGCAGCACGACGGCGUGGUGUUGAUGGAGCUGCAGUACUCCGGCAGAGCUUCGCUAAGCACUAUGGAGGUGGAGGAGGUGUUGGGGAGGGAGAAGGAGGCAACCAAAGGCCAAGGCGUUCAGGUAUAAAGUCCCUCCUCUCCCCCACUAUAUAUAGGAGGGCCAAGGGGGGGUGGCCGGCCCUAGGAGAUCCAAUCUCCUAGGGGGUGCGGCGGCCAAGGGGGGUUUCCCUCCCCCCCAAGGCACCUAGGAGGUGCCUUCCCCUCCUAGGACUCUUCCCCCUUCAAACCCUAGGCGCAUGGGCCUAUGUGGGGCUGGUGCCCUUGGCCCAUUAGGCCAAGGCGCACCCCCUACAGCCCAUGUGGCCCCCCCGGGACAGGUGGACCCACCCGGUGGACCCCCGGGCCCCUUCCGGUGGUCCCGGUACAAUACCGAUAACCCCGAAACUUGUCCCGAUGCCCGAAACAGGACUUCCCAUAUAUAAAUCUUUACCUCCGGACCAUUCCGGAACUCCUCGUGACGUCCGGGAUCUCAUCCGGGACUCCGAACAACAUUCGGGUUACUGCAUAUACAUAUCCCUACAACCCUAGCGUAAUUGAACCUUAAGUGUGUAGACCCUACGGGUUCGGGAGACAAGCAGACAUGACCGAGAUGACUCUCCGGUCAAUAACCAACAGCGGGAUCUGGAUACCCAUGUUGGCUCCCACAUGCUCCACGAUGAUCUCAUCGGAUGAACCACGAUGUCGAGGAUUCUAUCAACCCCGUAUGCUAUUCCCUUUGUCUAUCGAUAUGUUACUUGCCCGAGAUUCGAUCGUCGGUAUCCCAAUACCUCGUUCAAUCUCAUUACCGGCAAGUCACUUUACUCGUACCGUAAUGCAUGAUCCCGUGACCAGACACUUGGUCACUCUGAGCUCAUUAUGAUGAUGCAUUACUGAGUGGGCCCAGUGAUACCUCUCCGUCAUACGGAGUGACAAAUCCCAGUCUUGAUCCAUGUCACCCAACAGACACUUUCGGAGAUACCCGUAGUCUACCUUUAUAGUCACCCAGUUACGUUGUGACGUUUGGCAUACCCAAAGCACUCCUACGGUAUCCGGGAGUUACACGAUCUCAUGGUCUAAGGAAAAGAUACUUGACAUUGGAAAACUCUAGCAAACGAACUAUACGAUCUUGUGCUAUGUUUAGGAUUGGGUCUUGUCCAUCACAUCAUUCUCCUAAUGAUGUGAUCUCGUUAUCAAUGACAUCCAGUGUCCAUAGUCAGGAAACCAUGACUAUCUGUUGAUCAACGAGCUAGUCAACUAGAGGCUCACUAGGGACAUGUCGGUGUCUGUUAUUCACACAUGUAUUACGAUUUCCGAAUAACACAAUUAUAGCAUGAAUAAAGACAAUUAUCAUGAACAAGGAAAUAUAAUAAUAAUGCUUUUAUUAUUGCCUCUAGGGCAUAUUUCCAACAGUCUCCCACUUGCACUAGAGUCAAUAAUCUAGUUACAUUGUGAUGAAUCGAACACCCAUGGAAUUCUGGUGUUGAUCAUGUUUUGCUCUAGGGAGAGGUUUAGUCAACGGAUCUGCUACAUUCAGGUCCGUAUGUACUUUACAAAUCUCUAUGUCUCCAUCUUGAACAUUUUCACGAAUGGAGUUGAAGCGACGCUUGAUGUGCCUUGUCUUCUUGUGAAACCUGGGCUCCUUGGCAAGUGCAAUAGCUCCAGUGUUGUCACAGAAGAGCUUGAUCGACCCCGACGCAUUGGGUAUGACUCCUAGGUCGGUGAUGAACUCCUUCACCCAUAUUGCUUCAUGUGCUGCCUCCGAGGCUGCCAUGUACUCCGCUUCACAUGUAGAUCCCGCCACGACGCUUUGCUUGCAACUGCACCAGCUUACUGCCCCACCAUUCAAAAUAUACACGUAUCCGGUUUGUGACUUAGAGUCAUCCAGAUCUGUGUCGAAGCUAGCGUCGACGUAACCCUUUACGACGAGCUCUUCGUCACCUCCAUAAACGAGAAACAUUUCCUUAGUCCUUUUCAGGUACUUCAGGAUAUUCUUGACCGCUGUCCAGUGUUCCUUGCCGGGAUUACUUUGGUACCUUCCUACCAAACUUACGGCAAGGUUUACAUCAGGUCUGGUACACAGCAUGGCAUACAUAAUAGAACCUAUGGCUGAGGCAUAGGGGAUGACGCUCAUCUCCUCUAUAUCUUCUGCCGUGGUCGGACAUUGAGCUGAGCUCAAUUUCAUACCUUGUAACACAGGCAAGAACCCCUUCUUGGAUUGAUUCAUAUUGAACUUCUUCAAUAUCUUACCAAGGUAUGUGCUUUGUGAAAGACCUAUGAGGCGUCUCGAUCUAUCUCUAUAGAUUUUGAUGCCUAAUAUAUAAGCAGCUUCUCCAAGGUCCUUCAUUGAAAAACUUUUAUUCAAGUAGGCCUUGAUGUUGUCCAAGAGUUCUAUAUCAUUUCCCAUCAAAAGUAUGUCAUCUACAUAUAAUAUGAGAAAUGCUACAGAGCUCCCACUCACUUUCUUGUAAACGCAGGCUUCUCCAUAAGUCUGUGUAAACCCAAACGCUUUGAUCAUCUCAUCAAAGCGAAUGUUCCAACUCCGAGAUGCUUGCACCAGCCCAUAAAUCGAGCGUUGGAGCUUGCACACUUUGUCAGCAUUCUUAGGAUCGACAAAACCUUCCGGCUGCAUCAUAUACAAUUCUUCCUUAAGGAAACCAUUAAGGAAUGCCGUUUUGACGUCCAUUUGCCAUAUCUCGUAAUCAUAGAAUGCGGCAAUUGCUAACAUGAUUCGGACAGACUUCAGCUUCGCUACCGGUGAGAAAGUCUCAUCAUAGUCAACCCCUUGAACUUGUCGAUAACCCUUAGCGACAAGCCGAGCUUUAUAGAUGGUCACAUUACCAUCCGCGUCUGUCUUCCUCUUAAAGAUCCAUUUAUUUUCUAUGGCUCGCCGCUCAACGGGCAAGUCAGUCAAAGUCCAUACUUUGUUUUCAUACAUGGAUCCUAUCUCGGAUUUCAUGGCUUCCAGCCAUUUGUCGGAAUCCGGGCCCGCCAUCGCUUCUUCAUAGUUCGAAGGUUCACCAUUGUCUAACAGCAUGAUUUCCAAGACAGGGUUGCCGUACCACUCUGGUGCGGAACGUGUCCUUGUGGACCUUCGAAUUUCAGUAGGGGCUUGAUCAGAAGUAACUUGAUCAUUUUCAUUAACUUCCUCUCUAGUCGGUGCAGGCACCUCAGGAACAUUUUCUUGAGUUGCGCCAUUUCCCGGUUCAAGAGGUAAUACUUCAUCAAGCUCUACUUUCCUCCCACUUACUUCUUUCGAGAGAAACUCUUUCUCCAGAAAGGACCCAUUCUUGGCAACAAAGAUCUUGCCUUCGGAUCUGAGGUAGAAGGUGUACCCAAUAGUUUCUUUUGGGUAUCCUAUGAAGACGCAUUUUUCCGACUUGGGUUCGAGCUUUUGCGGUUGAAGUUUCUUGACAUAAGCAUCGCAUCCCCAAACUUUUAGAAACGACAGCUUAGGUUUCUUCCCAAACCAUAAUUCAUACGGUGUCGUCUCAACGGAUUUCGACGGAGCCCUAUUUAAAGUGAAUGCGGCAGUCUCUAAAGCAUAGCCCCAAAAAGAAAGCGGUAAAUCGGUAAGAGACAUCAUAGAUCGCACCAUAUCUAACAGAGUGCGAUUACGACGUUCGGACACACCAUUACGCUGAGGUGUUCCAGGCGGCGUGAGUUGUGAAACUAUUCCACAUUUUCUUAAGUGUGCCCCAAACUCGUGACUCAAGUAUUCUCCUCCACGAUCUGAUCGUAGAAACUUGAUUUUCCUGUCACGUUGAUUUUCAACCUCACUCUGAAAUUCCUUGAACUUUUCAAAGGUUUCAGACUUGUGUUUCAUUAAGUAGAUAUACCCAUACCUACUUAAAUCAUCAGUGAGGGUGAGAACAUAACGAUAGCCACCGCGAGCCUCAACACUCAUCGGACCGCACACAUCAGUAUGUAUGAUUUCCAAUAAGUCGGUUGCUCGCUCCAUUGUUCCUGAGAACGGAGUCUUGGUCAUUUUACCCAUAAGGCAUGGUUCGCACGUGUCAAAUGAUUCAUAAUCAAGAGACUCUAAAAGUCCAUCAGCAUGGAGCUUCUUCAUGCGUUUGACACUUAUGUGACCAAGGCGGUAGUGCCACAAGUAUGUGGGACUAUCAUUAUCAACCUUACUUCUUUUGGUACUCACAUUAUGAACAUGUGUAGCAUCACGUUCGAGAUUCAUAAAGAAUAAACCAUUCACCAUAGGAGCAUGACCAUAAAACAUAUCUCUCAUAAAAAUGGAACAACCAUUAUUCUCAGAUUUAAAAGAGUAGCCAUCUCGAAUUAAACGAGAUCCCGAUACAAUGUUCAUGCUCAAAGCUGGCACUAAAUAACAAUUAUUAAGGUUUAAAACUAAUCCCGAAGGGAGAUGCAGAGGUAGCGUGCCGACGGCGAUCACAUUGACCUUGGAACCAUUCCCGACGCGCAUCGUCACCUCGUCCUUUGCCAGUUUCCGCUUAUUCCGCAGCCCCUGCUUUGAGUUACAAAUAUGAGCAACUGCACCGGUAUCAAAUACCCAGGAGCCACUACGGGCACUAGUAAGGUACACAUCAAUUACAUGUAUAUCACAUAUACCUUUUGUUUUGCCGGCCUUCUUAUCCGCUAAGUACUUAGGGCAGUUCCGCUUCGAGUGACCGCUUCCCUUGCAAUAAAAGCACUCAGUCUCGGGCUUGGGUCCAUUCUUUGGGUUCUUCCUGGCAGCUUGCUUGCCGGGCGCGGCAACCUCCUUGCCGUCCUUCUUGAAGUUCUUUUUACCCUUGCCUUUCUUGAACUUAGUGGUUUUAUUGACCAUCAACACUUGAUGUUCCUUCCUGACUUCUACCUCUGCUGAUUUCAGCAUAGCAAAUACUUCAGGAAUGGUCUUUUCCAUCCCCUGCAUAUUGAAGUUCAUCACAAAGCUCUUGUAGCUUGGUGGAAGUGACUGGAGGAUUCUGUCAAUGACCGCAUCAUCCGAGAGAUUAACUCCUAGCUGAGUCAAGCGGUUAUGCAACCCAGACAUAGUGAGUAUGUGCUCACUGACAGAACUGUUUCCCUCCAUCUUACAACUGAAGAAUUUGUCGGAGACUUCAUAUCUCUCGACCCGGGCAUGAGCUUGGAAAACCAUUUUCAGCUCUUCGAACAUCUCAUAUGCUCCAUGUCUCUCAAAACGCUUUUGGAGCCCCGGCUCUAAGCUGUAAAGCAUGCCGCACUGAACGAGGGAGUAGUCAUCGAAACGUGCCUGCCAAGCGUUCAUAACAUCUUGUUCUGCAGGGAGAACGGGUGCGUCACCAAGCGGUGCUUGUAGGACAUAAUCUUUCUUGGCAGCUAUGAGGAUGAUCCUCAGGUUCCGGACCCAGUCCGUAUAGUUGCUGCCAUUGUCUUUCAGCUUAGUUUUCUCUAGGAACGCGUUGAAGUUGAGGACUACGUUGGCCAUUUGAUCUACAAGACAUAUUGCAAAUAUUUUAGACUAAGUUCAUGAUAAUUAAGUUCAACUAAUCAAAUUAUUAGUGAACUCCCACUUAGAUUAGACAUCCCUCUAGUCAUCUAAGUAUUACAUGAUCCGAGUUAAACUAGUCCGUGUCCGAUCAUCACGUGAGACGGACUAGUCAACAUCGGUGAACAUCUUCAUGUUGAUCGUAUCUUCUAUACGACUCAUGCUCGACCUUUCGGUCUUCUGUGUUCCGAGGCCAUGUCUGUACAUGCUAGGCUCGUCAAGUCAACCUAAGUGUUUGCAUGUGUAAAUCUGUCUUACACCCGUUGUAUGUGAACGUCUGAAUAAAACACCCGAUCAUCACGUGGUGUUUUGAAACAGCGAACUGUCGCAAUGGUGCACAGUUAGGGGGAACACUUCUUGAAUUUAUUGUGAGGGAUCAUCUUAUUUACUACCGUCGUUCUAAGUAAACAAGAUGCAAAACAUGAUAAACAUCACAUGCAAUCAAAUAAUAAACGUGACAUGAUAUGGCCAAUAUCACAUAGCUCCUUUGAUCUCCAUCUUGGGGCUCCAUGAUCAUCUUGUCACCGGCUUGACACCAUGAUCUCCAUCAUCAUGAUCUCCAUCAUCGAGUCUCCAUGAAGUUGCUCGCCAACUAUUACUUCUACUACUAUGGCUAACGCGUUUAGCAAUAAAGUAAAGUAAUUUACAUGGCGUUUCUCGAUGACACGCAGGUCAUUAAAAGAAUAAAGACAACUCCUAUGGCUCCUGCCGGUUGUCAUACUCAUCGACAUGCAAGUCGUGAAUCCUAUUACAAUAGCAUGAACAUCUCAUACAUCACAUAUAGAUCAUUCAUCAUUCAUCACAACUUUGGCCAUAUCAUAUCACAAACCACUUGCUGCAAAAACAAGUUAGACGUCCUCUAAUUGUUGUUGCAAGUUUUACGUGGCUGAAUUAGGGUUCUAGCAAGAACGUCUUCUUACCUACGUUAAAGCCACAACGUGAUUUGUCAACUUCUAUUUACCCUUCAUAAGGACCCUGUUCAUCGAUUCCGCUCCAACUAAAGUGGGAGAGACAGACACCCGCCAGCCACCUUAUGCAACUAGUGCAUGUUAGUCGGUGGAACCGGUCUCACGUAAGCGUACGUGUAAGGUUGGUCCGGGCCGCUUCAUCCCACAAUACCGCUGAAGCAAGAAAGGACUAGUAACAGCAAGAAAGUUGACAAAUCUACGCCCACAACAAAUUGUGUUCUACUCGCGCAAGAAGAACUACGCAUAGACCUAGCUCAUGAUGCCACUGUUGGGGAACGUUGCAGAAAACAAAAAUUUUCCUACUCGUUUCACCAAGAUCAUCUAGGAGUUCAUCUAGCAACGAGUGAUUAGAUGCAUCUACAUACCUUUGUAGAUCGCGAGCGGAAGCGUUCAAAAGAACGGUGAUGAUGUAGUCGUACUCGACGUGAUCCAAAUCACCGAUGACCAGCGCCGAACGGACGGCACCUCCGCGUUCAACACACGUACGGAACAGCCACAUCUCCUUCUUGAUCCAGCAAGGGAGGGAGGAGAGGUUGAGGGAGAUGGCACCAGCAGCAGCACGACGGCGUGGUGUUGAUGGAGCUGCAGUACUCCGGCAGAGCUUCGCUAAGCACUAUGGAGGUGGAGGAGGUGUUGGGGAGGGAGAAGGAGGCAACCAAAGGCCAAGGCGUUCAGGUAUAAAGUCCCUCCUCUCCCCCACUAUAUAUAGGAGGGCCAAGGGGGGGUGGCUGGCCCUAGGAGAUCCAAUCUCCUAGGGGGUGCGGCGGCCAAGGGGGGUUUCCCUCCCCCCCAAGGCACCUAGGAGGUGCCUUCCCCUCCUAGGACUCUUCCCCCUUCAAACCCUAGGCGCAUGGGCCUAUGUGGGGCUGGUGCCCUUGGCCCAUUAGGCCAAGGCGCACCCCCUACAGCCCAUGUGGCCCCCCCGGGACAGGUGGACCCACCCGGUGGACCCCCGGGACCCUUCCGGUGGUCCCGGUACAAUACCGAUAACCCCGAAACUUGUCCCGAUGCCCGAAACAGGACUUCCCAUAUAUAAAUCUUUACCUCCGGACCAUUCCGGAACUCCUCGUGACGUCCGGGAUCUCAUCCGGGACUCCGAACAACAUUCGGGUUACUGCAUAUACAUAUCCCUACAACCCUAGCGUAACUGAACCUUAAGUGUGUAGACCCUACGGGUUCGGGAGACAAGCAGACAUGACCGAGAUGACUCUCCGGUCAAUAACCAACAGAUGAUCUCGAUACCCAUGUUGGCUCCCACAUGCUCCACGAUGAUCUCAUCGGAUGAACCACGAUGUCGAGGAUUCUAUCAACCCCGUAUGCUAUUCCCUUUGUCUAUCGAUAUGUUACUUGCCCGAGAUUCGAUCGUCGGUAUCCCAAUACCUCGUUCAAUCUCGUUACCGGCAAGUCACUUUACUCGUACCGUAAUGCAUGAUCCCGUGACCAGACACUUGGUCACUCUGAGCUCAUUAUGAUGAUGCAUUACCGAGUGGGCCCAGUGAUACCUCUCCGUCAUACGGAGUGACAAAUCCCAGUCUUGAUCCAUGUCACCCAACAGACACUUUCGGAGAUACCCGUAGUCUACCUUUAUAGUCACCCAGUUACGUUGUGACGUUUGGCAUACCCAAAGCACUCCUACGGUAUCCGGGAGUUACACGAUCUCAUGGUCUAAGGAAAAGAUACUUUGACAUUGCAAAACUCUAGCAAACGAACUAUACGAUCUUGUGCUAUGUUUAGGAUUGGGUCUCGUCCAUCACAUCAUUCUCCCAAUGAUGUGAUCUCGUUAUCAAUGACAUCCAGUGUCCAUAGUAAGGAAACCAUGACUAUCUGUUGAUCAACGAGCUAGUCAACUAGAGGCUCACUAGGGACAUGUUGGUGUCUGUUAUUCACACAUGCAUUACGAUUUCCGGAUAACACAAUUAUAGCAUGAAUAAAGACAAUUAUCAUGAACAAGGAAAUAUAAUAAUAAUGCUUUUAUUAUUGCCUCUAGGGCAUAUUUCCAACAGUCUCCCACUUGCACUAGAGUCAAUAAUCUAGUUACAUUGUGAUGAAUCGAACACCCAUGGAAUUCUGGUGUUGAUCAUGUUUUGCUCUAGGGAGAGGUUUAGUCAACGGAUCUGCUACAUUCAGGUCCGUAUGUACUUUACAAAUCUCUAUGUCUCCAUCUUGAACAUUUUCACGAAUGGAGUUGAAGCGACGCUUGAUGUGCCUUGUCUUCUUGUGCUGCCUCCGAGGCUGCCAUGUACUCCGCUUCACAUGUAGAUCCCGCCACGACGCUCUGCUUGCAACUGCACCAGCUUACUGCCCCACCAUUCAAAAUAUACACGUAUCCGGUUUGUGACUUAGAGUCAUCCAGAUCUGUGUCGAAGCUAGCGUCGACGUAACCCUUUACGACGAGCUCUUCGUCACCUCCAUAAACGAGAAACAUUUCCUUAGUCCUUUUCAGGUACUUCAGGAUAUUCUUGACCGCUGUCCAGUGUUCCUUGCCGGGAUUACUUUGGUACCUUCCUACCAAACUGACGGCAAGGUUAACAUCAGGUCUGGUACACAGCAUGGCAUACAUAAUAGAACCUAUGGCUGAGGCAUAGGGGAUGACGCUCAUCUCUUCUAUAUCUUCUGCCGUGGUCGGACAUUGAGCUGAGCUCAAUUUCAUACCUUGCAACACAGGCAAGAACCCUUUCUUGGAUUGAUCCAUAUUGAACUUUUUCAAUAUCUUAUCAAGGUAUGUGCUUUGUGAAAGACCUAUGAGGCGUCUUGAUCUAUCUCUAUAGAUUUUGAUGCCUAAUAUAUAAGCAGCUUCUCCAAGGUCCUUCAUUGAAAAACUUUUAUUCAAGUAGGCCUUGAUGCUGUCCAAGAGUUCUAUAUCAUUUCCCAUCAAAAGUAUGUCAUCUACAUAUAAUAUGAGAAAUGCUACAGAGCUCCCACUCACUUUCUUGUAAACGCAGGCUUCUCCAUAAGUCUGUGUAAACCCAAACGCUUUGAUCAUCUCAUCAAAGCGAAUGUUCCAACUCCGAGAUGCUUGCACCAGCCCAUAAAUCGAGCGUUGGAGCUUGCACACUUUGUCAGCAUUCUUAGGAUCGACAAAACCUUCCGGCUGCAUCAUAUACAAUUCUUCAUUAAGGAAUGCCGUUUUGACGUCCAUUUGCCAUAUUUCGUAAUCAUAGAAUGCGGCAAUUGCUAACAUGAUUCGGACGGACUUCAGCUUCGCUACCGGUGAGAAAGUCUCAUCGUAGUCAACCCCUUGAACUUGUCGAUAACCCUUAGCGACAAGCCGAGCUUUAUAGAUGGUCACAUUACCAUCCGCGUCUGUCUUCUUCUUAAAGAUCCAUUUAUUUUCUAUGGCUCGCCGUUCUACGGGCAAGUCAGUCAAAGUCCAUACUUUGUUUUCAUACAUGGAUCCUAUCUCGGAUUUCAUGGCUUCUAGCCAUUUGUCGGAAUCCGGACCCGCCAUCGCUUCUUCAUAGUUCGAAGGUUCACCGUUGUCUAACAACAUGAUUUCCAAGACAGGGUUGCCGUACCACUCUGGUGCGGAACGUGUCCUCGUGGACCUUCGAAUUUCAGUAGGAGCUUGAUCAGAAGUAUCUUGAUCAUUAUCAUUAACUUCCUCUCUAGUCGGUGUAGGCACCUCAGGAACAUUUUCUUGAGUUGUGCCAUUUUCCGGUUCAAGAGGUAAUACUUCAUCAAGCUCUACUUUCCUCCCACUUACUUCUUUCGAGAGAAACUCUUUCUCCAGAAAGGACCCAUUCUUGGCAACAAAGAUCUUGCCUUCGGAUCUGAGGUAGAAGAUAUACCCAACAGUUUCUUUAGGGUAUCCUAUGAAGACGCAUUUUUCCGAUUUGGGUUCGAGCUUUUCAGGUUGAAGUUUCCUGACAUAAGCAUCGCAUCCCCAAACUUUUAGAAAUGACAGCUUAGGUUUCUUCCCAAACCAUAAUUCAUACGGUGUCGUCUCAACGGAUUUCGACGGGGCCCUAUUUAAAGUGAAUGCGGCAGUCUCUAAAGCAUAGCCCCAAAAAGAUAGUGGUAAAUCGGCAAGAGACAUCAUAGAUCGCACCAUAUCUAAUAGAGUGCGCUUACGACGUUCGGACACACCAUUACGCUGAGGUGUUCCAGGCGGCGUGAGUUGUGAAACUAUUCCACAUUUUCUUAAGUGUGUACCAAACUCGUGACUCAAGUAUUCUCCUCCACGAUCUGAUCGUAGAAACUUGAUUUUCCUGUCACGUUGAUUCUCAACUUCACUCUGAAAUUCCUUGAACUUUUCAAAGGUCUCAGACUUGUGUUUCAUUAAGUAGACAUACCCAUAUCUACUCAAGUCAUCAGUGAGGGUGAGAACAUAACGAUAGCCACCGCGAGCCUCAACACUCAUUGGACCGCACACAUCAGUAUGUAUGAUUUCCAAUAAGUUGGUUGCUCUCUCCAUUGUUCCUGAGAAUGGAGUCUUGGUCAUUUUACCCAUGAGGCAUGGUUCGCACGUGUCAAAUGAUUCGUAAUCAAGAGACUCUAAAAGUCCAUCAGCAUGGAGCUUCUUCAUGCGUGGUGUUGUUGGAGCUGCAGUACUCCGGCAGAGCUUCGCUAAGCAAUAAGGAGGUGGAGGAGGUGUUGGGGAGGGAGAAGGAGGCAACCAAAGGCCAAGGACUCAAGGUAUGAAGUCCCUCCUCUCCCCCACUAUAUAUAGGGGUGCCAAGGGGGGGGUGGCCGGCCCUAGGAGAUCCAAUCUCCUAGGGGGUGCGGCGGCCAAGGGGGGUUUCCCUCCCCCCCAAGGCACCUAGGAGGUGCCUUACCCUCCUAGGACUCUUUCCCCCUUAAACCCUAGGCGCAUGGGCCUAUGUGGGGCUGGUGCCCUUGGCCCAAGCAGGCCAAGGCGCACCCCCUACAGCCCAUGUGGCCCCCGGGGAUGGGUGGCCCCACCCGGUGGGCCCCCCGGACCCCUCCUGUGGUCCCGGUACAAUACCGAUAACCCCGAAACUUGUCCCGAUGCCCGAAACAGGACUUCCCAUAUAUAAAUCUUUACCUCCGGACCAUUCCGGAACUCCUCGUGACGUCCGGGAUCUCAUCCGGGACUCCGAACAACAUUCGGGUUACUGCAUAUACAUAUCCCUACAACCCUAGCGUAACUGAACCUUAAGUGUGUAGACCCUACGGGUUCGGGAGACAAGCAGACAUGACCGAGACGACUCUCUGGUCAAUAACCAACAGCGGGAUCUGGAUACCCAUGUUGGCUCCCACAUGCUCCACGAUGAUCUCAUCGAAUGAACCACGAUGUCGAGGAUUCAAUCAACCCCGUACGCUAUUCCCUUUGUCCAUCGAUAUGUUACUUGCCCGAGAUUCGAUCGUCGGUAUCCCAAUACCUCGUUCAAUCUCGUUACCGGCAAGUCACUUUACUCGUACCGUAAUGCAUGAUCCCGUGACCAGACACUUGGUCACUCUGAGCUCCUUAUGAUGAUGCAUUACCGAGUGGGCCCAGUGAUACCUCUCCGUCAUACGGAGUGACAAAUCCCAGUCUUGAUCCAUGUCACCCAACAGACACUUUCGGAGAUACCCGUAGUCUACCUUUAUAGUCACCCAGUUACGUUGUGACGUUUGGCAUACCCAAAGCACUCCUACGGUAUCCGGGAGUUACACGAUCUCAUGGUCUAAGGAAAAGAUACUUGACAUUGGAAAACUCUAGCAAACGAACUAUACGAUCUUGUGCUAUGUUUAGGAUUGGGUCUUGUCCAUCACAUCAUUCUCCUAAUGAUGUGAUCUCGUUAUCAAUGACAUCCAGUGUCCAUAGUCAGGAAACCAUGACUAUCUGUUGAUCAACGAGCUAGUCAACUAGAGGCUCACUAGGGACAUGUCGGUGUCUGUUAUUCACACAUGUAUUACGAUUUCCGGAUAACACAAUUAUAGCAUGAAUAAAGACAAUUAUCAUGAACAAGGAAAUAUAAUAAUAAUGCUUUUAUUAUUGCCUCUAGGGCAUAUUUCCAACACUUUCUUGUAGACCAACAGGGAUGUCUCACUAUCUUGAACCUUAUCUGCAUUACUUCCUUUACCAUUGGAUAACGCGGUACUGUUCUCCAAUAUUUUGUCCGCAUUCUAAAAGAGAAACAAGCAGACACAUCACAUGUUUACCAUGUUGUAUAUGAAACUCAUUUUGGUAAAUGAGUUCAGUAGUAAAGUGGACAGGAUAACUGCAUGAAACAAACAUAUAUCUAUGUACCAUGGUCACUUUAUGGUCUAUAUCAUUCUAGUUUUUUUUGCCAAAUCAAGAUAGAGACACAGUUCAAAUAAUAUUUGUUCAAGACAAAGCAGAAUAGACAGAAUAUAAGUGUGGGUAACUAUAGAGCAAUAACAACACUUGUAAUGUGCAUGACAUGAGAACAUAACUGUUUAUUCAAUUGAAACUGAAAUCAACAUAGAGCGGGUUACAAUAGCAAACCAGUUAAAGAAACAGGUUUAAAACAUACCUGUUGCGCCAUUGGAGUUUCAAUUCCAUCCUUCAAAUUUGAAAAUAGUUGGUAUGAGUAAAUACAGUAAUGCAAGAGCAAAGGAGUAUGAACCAUAGCUACAGAACCUGACCUGAGAACAAAUCUUCUUCUCCUUUAAGCAUUGAGUUGGGAUUCGGAGUGGUGGUCCUCGUGCUUUGGGCACUGCAGUUCCCUUACUAACUGCUCGUGUUUGGGUGCUCUGUGGUGGAGACGGUGUUGUGUCAACUGGAACUGGGUUACUAUCUGCCGGGGUUGGGGUUAGAAGGGGUGUAGCUAGUUCUCUGUACAACUAGGUAGGGGUACAAUCUGCGAGAGUCUGGGUUAUGUGUGGUGGAUCUGGUCCUUGGGAAAGUACAACCAUGGUUCUAUCUGCAUCAACUGGUAGCACUAUCUUUUCUGAAGACCGUGUUGUUACUCCCUUAGGUACUGCCAUCACGCUCUCCAAUUAAAAUGGCUGAUAAACAAGAAAAUUAAUUGAAAGUAUAGACAUUGUAUGAUAGACAGGUGCAAUGGAUAGUGGGGAAUAAAAGAGGGCAUGAAAUAAUUCAUAUUUAUGUUGUCUAACCAAACAGGAUAGCAUGACACAAUUUCACAUAUAUGAUGGCUAACUAAACAGGAUAGCAUGACACAAUUUCACAUUAUGAUGGCUAACUAAAAAAGAUGGAAAGACAUAGUUCAAAAUAUGAGAUUAUGUAAACAGGAUGACAUGACAUAACUAUAUAAUGUGUUUAUUAAAUAGGUUGGCAUGCCAUAAUUCACAUACAUUCACGGAUAGAAUGCCAUAAUUCAAAAUAUGAUGACUGUAAACACUAAACAGGAUGAGAUGAUAUAACUAUAUGAUGUCUUUAUUAAAUGGGUUGCCAUGCCAUAAUUCAGAUAGAUGAUGUGUAUGUACUAUGUAAACAUGAUGGCAUGAUAUAAUUCAAAUAUAUGAUUUAUAUAGUAAGCAAGUAAGCAGAUGGCAAUCCAUAUAUGAUGUAAAAACUAAGCAAUGCAAGACAACAUGCAUGACGUGGGUAAUAUAACCCUGCCAAGUUUGAGCAUAGACCUCAUGGGGGAAAUAGGACUGGUCAUCAGUCUCUGAAUCCUCCUCUAAGGAGCUCUCUGUAACCAGCAAGAUGUCUGCUUCAGCAUGUAGCAUUGUCUGUUCUGAAUACCUUGUUUUCACUCCAAAUACUUCCAUCACCGCUUCAAAUGGCUGAUGCACAGAAAGAGUAGUUGAAUAUACAAACGUUGUCGACAAAUGGAACACGUAAUACAAAAAAAUGAUAGCAUGAUAUAAUUCACAUACUUGAUGAUUGGCUAAACAACAUGGCAUUGCAUAAUUCACAUAUAUAAUGCCUUUGCAACAAGAUAACAUUGUAUAAUUCACAUAUAUAAUGUCUUGCAACAAGAUGGCAAUGCAUAAUUCACAUAUAUGGUAAUUAGACACUAAACAGGUGGCAUUCACACAAAGCAUGUCUAAACUAAUCAAAUGACAUAGCAAUGCGAGACACCAUACGUACGAUAUGAGCAACAUAACCCUGCCAAGUUAGAGCAUACACCUCGGGGGGGGGGGGGAAUAGGACUGGUCAUCUGUCUCUGAAUCCUCCUCUGAGGAGCUAUCCGUAACCAGCGAGAUAUGUGCUUCGUCAGAUAGCAUAGUCUGCUCUGAAGACCUUGUUUUCACUCCAGAAUUUGCCAUCACCGUGUCAAAUGGCUGAUGCACACGAAGAGCAGUUGAAUGUACUAACAUUGUUGACAAAUGUAAUAUGUAACGAAAAAAAGGAUGGCCUGAUAUAAUUUACAUAUAAGAUGACUGGCUAAGCAGGAUGGCAUUGCAAAAUUCACAUAUAUGAUGCCUAGCUAAACAAGAUGGUGUUGCAUAAUUCACAUAAACAAUGAAUAAACUAAACAGAUGGCAUUCACACAAAGGAUGUCUAAACUAAGCAGAUGACAUAUUUGAUGUAUAAAGUAAACUAAGCAGUUGUCUUCUCCUUUUGAAUCCCCCUCAGAACAGAUAUCUUCCUCUCGAUUACAAUUCGAAAUGCGUGGAGGGGGGCGGGGGCUGCCUUUGCGCCUACCAUGGAGCAACGUCUGCAUGAAAUUUUAUUGCCACGCAAGGCUCGUCUCUUUUGCUCUACAUGUUCACUUCCAUUGUUUACAAUAACUGUCAUGCAUAGGAAUAAAACAUAGUGAGAUUAUGUAAGGAGUGCAUGCAGAAAUCUAGAGUGAUGGUAGCAACCUGUGGAUAGACCCAAAACCAAUAAUAGCAGGCAGAUAAUGGCUUCAGUUAAAAAAUACAGAUAAUGGCUUCUUUACUGUUUGUUUCCCACCCAACAUGAAACUCAUAGUAGACACCGGAGAUUAACCAGAUAGUAGAUAGAUACUAUUGAUAGCGGCCCCGAUAUGUGCCCCACAACCAUUUAAAAACUCAAGUUUGACCAUUAGUUUGGAGCUGACUCAGAGUCUAAUCGGUGAACAACACGAUAAAGUAGCAUGUAAUAUUAAGCGAUGCAUAACGUAAGCAGACACGAAAGAGUGCGACCUCUCUUACGGACCCGUGUAGUCCUCGAGGUCAUCUACUCGGUUGAUGAUGGUAAUGCAGUUUUCAUGGCUGCCAGCGGCGGGGAAGAAGAUCUGAGGCGGCGAAAGACAGUCUGGAGGCCGGAUCCCUGCUGUGUUGGACCCUUCUGACGUUGGAGCAGCUGAGCUGGGGUGGACAACGGCGCAGCAGGAGCGGGACAAACCACUCAUGGUUUUCUUUGACAACUAUCUGUAAGAGAAGUAAUUCUGUAAGGGCUCGUUUGAAUUGGAGGAUUCCAGCAAUGCAUGGAUAGGAAAUAGACAGGAAUAGGAUAGGAAUGCAUGUGCAAAACAGAGAAUUUAAAAACACAUGAUUUCUGCCAAUCUGGGUGUUUGAUUCACAACAAUUGGAAGAUCACAGGAUGCAAAGAAGCAUGGUGCGAUUAAGUCAAACCACAAGAAAAUGUACGGUUAUAAUGCUAUUAUGCUACUAUCUCUUAGUCUUCUGCUUCAUGAAUAGGAAUUUGAAAAGGAGGACAAGUGAAAAUUAAAUUCCUACGUUUUUUCUUUCAAGGAGACACUAAAGGAACACAUCUGUGUGCUCAGUGGACAAUAUAUAAACAUGUAGAGUAAAAAAGAGAUACAACAAGUGUACAACCUCUUUGGCGAAGCCAUGUCGAUCUCAGCAUAAUUGGGUUGGCCGGUGAGGAUGCUCCGGCUGACUUUGCUGUCGGAGGAGGGGAAGAAGAUCUUAGGCGUCUGGAGAUGGAGCCCGAGGUAAUGCUCCGCUGUGAUGGAGGGUUUCGUAGUUGGAGCAGCUCCGGUGAGUUGUACGACGCCGAGGCUGAAGCAGGACAAGAGAGACAAUGAACAACGUUAACCUGAGUGGAAUUCUAACAGCAUCUCCAAUACAUGAUGUAAAAUACAUAACCACAAAGUGCUAUAUGUAAAAUACAUCAGCCGCUCAUCUCUGAACUUAACUGUCGAAACUGAACUUAACUGUCGAAACUGAAUUUUGCUGUCGAAACUGAAUUUUGCUGUCAAAACUGAAUGCACUAGCAAGGUGAGGCUACACGUAGGUCGACUAACCUUUUCAUCGCUGGUCAAUCGAUUUUGCAGCCGUUGGAUACGAAAUCAAGGGCCUGCUGUAACGCCUCGGAUCCGAUGCGCCAGGUGUCUGUCAGUUAUUCGCCGUUGUUUCCAUGUCAUUUGCUUGCGUGUUGCAUUUUAUCAUGUCAUCAUGUGCAUUUCAUUUUGCAUACGUGUUCGUCUCAGGCAUCCGAGCAUUUUCCCUGUUGUCCAUUUUGCAAUCCAGCACUCCUAUGCCCUCCGGCGUUCCCCUUUCGUCUCUCGUUGUGUGCGGGUGUUAAACUUUCUUGGAAUGGCCCGAGGUUUGCCAAGCGGCCUUGGUAUAGCACCGGUAGACCGCCUGUCAAGUUUCGUGCCAUUUGGAGGUCGUUUGAUACUCCAACGGUUAACCGGGUAACCGUAAAGCCCCUCUCUCUUUGCAGCCCAACACCCCUUCCAAAGUGGCCCAAAACCCAUCUAACUCCCCUCCAUGCUCUCGGUCGUUCGAUCACGAUCGUGUGGGCGAAAACCGCUCCUCAUUUGGACUCUCCUAGCUCCCUCUACCUAUAAAUAUGUGCCUCCCACGUCCAAAUCGUAGAUGAAACCCUAGCCUAGCCUUCCUCUCGCCCGCCGGACACGUCCAGCCGCCGCGCCGGACGAAUCAGCCACCGCCACGUCACCCAGCGUUUCCUCUCUCUCUCCUCCGCCGCCGCGCGGCCUGCCAGGCCCGCCGCGGGCCCGUGCGAGCCCAGCCGCCCGGCCCGCACGCUGUCCCGCGCGCCUCUGCCCGAGCCUUCCCCGGCCAGAUCCCGCGCCGCCGCUCCCGUCGCCGGCGAGCUUCGCCGCGGCUCCACCGCCUCCUCGCCUCCGGUCUCGCNNNNNNNNNNNNNNNNNNNNNNNNNNNNNNNNNNNNNNNNNNNNNNNNNNNNNNNNNNNNNNNNNNNNNNNNNNNNNNNNNNNNNNNNNNNNNNNNNNNNNNNNNNNNNNNNNNNNNNNNNNNNNNNNNNNNNNNNNNNNNNNNNNNNNNNNNNNNNNNNNNNNNNNNNNNNNNNNNNNNNNNNNNNNNNNNNNNNNNNNNNNNNNNNNNNNNNNNNNNNNNNNNNNNNNNNNNNNNNNNNNNNNNNNNNNNNNNNNNNNNNNNNNNNNNNNNNNNNNNNNNNNNNNNNNNNNNNNNNNNNNNNNNNNNNNNNNNNNNNNNNNNNNNNNNNNNNCGCCCGGCCCGGGUGCGUGCCGACUUCGCCGUCACCCAGAUCCGGCAGGCCGCCGCCCCCUUUGCCCAUUCCUGGCCGGAUCCGCCCGUCCCGCCUCGCCUCGCCCUCGCCGGCGACUCGCCUCCGCGUCCCGGCCGCCGGAAUCGCCGCGCCGCUGCCCUGCCUCCUCGAUCCAGGCGGGAUCGGGAGGAGGACUACUCCCCGCGUGUGGGCCUCGGCCCAGCCCAGCUCCAGCAGCCCUCCAGCCCACCUCUCCUUCCGUCCUGGGCCUGCAGCCCACUAGGUGAGCAUCCCGCCAGUCCUAUCCCCCGCGCCCGUGCGACUUAUAACUAUUCGAUGCUCACCUGUUUUUCUCCUGAAAACGACCAAGUCCCCGUAUCUGCAGUAAUUUUCAUGUCAUGUUCAUCAUGCCGUAUCUCUGCAUCCGUAGCUCCGUUUUGUGCGUGUAAUAUGUCAAAUUGUUCGUCUCAACGAGUACAUCAUUUCACUCCAUUGCAUCAUAUUCAUUAGAGCUCAUCUUGAUGCCUGAAUCAUUGUUGUAAGAGUGCUUCAUGAUGUUUUCUGCUGUCUGUUAUCAAAACGAGCUCUUUUGUCAUUUUUGCCAUGAUAGAUGUGUGCAUCCUAUGAGGUUGAUGUCUACAUGUGUUUUGAACUAUGCCAUGCCAUCUUUACAGAGGUGCUUACCAUGUAUUUUUGUGAUCAAUGUGGUGACUAGCAGAAGCAUGCAAACUAGGCAUCGUGAUAUUGCUAGUUUUAGUCCCUGUUCUGCUGUUAUUUUGAUGCCUUGUAAACUUGAUGCUACAGAGAGAUCCAUGCAUAUUUUGAGAUACUUCAGUAAGGGUGUUUUGAACAUGUGGUUAUUGUCUAUCCAUUUAUGCCCUUGGUUGCAAUCAUGGAGUAGUCUAGCAUGGCUUUUUCGUGCUCUACUUUUGCUUCAAAAUGUUUCCUGGCAGAUUGUUUACAUGUUAUUCAAUUUGGCCAAGCAUGUUGUAGUUGAUCCUUGCAUGCUAUGGACUUGUUCUUGACUUUGUUUGUUCCACAAACAUGUCUUCUUGAUGAUGCUAUGCUUAUCUUGUCAUGCAAUGACUUGUGGUGAGUGAAUCGAGCUUGUUAAGUAGUGUACAUGCUGUUACUGUUUGCUAGGCUGAAUCUGUUAUUUCAUGAUGCUAUAUAAACAUGUUGCUACUAAUCAUUCUAUGCAUAAUCUGGAGAUGUUCUAUAAACAUGUUUUUAUAUACAUGUCAUCCUCUAUCCAUCCAUGCCCAUGGUUGCAUUUAUAGGUUGUUAUAGCUUGUUCAUAUCUUGCUCCAAAGUUGCUUCAUAAUGUUGUUGUCAGCCUGUUUACAUUAAGUUCAGUUGUUUCCAUGUGUUUUCCUAGUGUUCCAUGCACCCUAUGACCUUGCUCUUGCCAUGCUUAAAUUCACAAAUAUGCCUUCUUACUGUUGGUUGCCUUGCCAUGCCAUGUAUUGCUCUGUAGUGAGUUGCACAAGCUCAUCUACAUGCCUUCAUAAUUCGGUUUCUGCCAUGUUUGAAUCUGUAAUAUAACUUGCUAUGUUUACGUGGGUGCCAUCAUAUUUUCUGAUCCUUUUUGGUUUAUGGUUAGCAAGGGACUUUUGAUCUAUGCAUUUAGUAGAUUCAUGCCAUGUCUUUGUUUGCCAUUAUAAGUUCCUGUAACAUGUUGUUUGAUAGCUCUGAACAUUGCAUCGUGAUGUUAUUUUCUGCAAAGCCUGAAUUGUUAUAACUUGCAAUCUUACCAUGUGUGUUUGAGCAUGUUCUAGUGAUUUCUAGAGAUAGCUCAGUGUUCAUGUUUUGUAAUGCUUUACCUGUACAUCAUGCCCAUGCCUUUUGUUUUCUUGUUGAGGUCAUGUAGCAUGUUGUUUUGAUGCUUGCAAUAUGCCUAGUUGCUGUUUUGGACAACUUGUCCUUUAAACUUGUUUCAUGUGUGUGUGUGUGUUGAACCGUUGCUCCGUUUUGAGUGUGCUCUAUAUGAAACUUGCUUAAAAUUGCAUGUAGCUUCAUAUUAUAAUGUUGCAUCCUUGUUUUGGUGUGUUUGCUUGAUGUUUGGGUGCAUUUUGCAUCAAUGCCAUGUUUAACUUGUUUUGCUCAUAUCUUCUAGGCCGUAGCUCCGAACUAAAUGAACUUUAUAUGUAACUUGACUAGAAUCUCGUGUAGAUCAUCUUGGUGCAUCUUAACUUGAUGUUUAAAAACUUGAACAUGAGGUUUAUUCAGAUCUGGAUCAACUUCGAAAUAUGCAUAUGAGGACUUACCGGAAUUGUUAUAUGUUGUUCCCGGCCUCAUUUAAACUUGCCUUGAUGUGUUGCUCUUGUUUGCAUCAUCUCUUGCCAUGAGUAGCUUCAUGUAGCUUUAUCAUGCAUCAUGUUUGUUGUGCAUCAUGCCUUGUUCAUGUGUGGUGUGUUUACUAUGUUGUGUGCUUCUUCUUGUUAGUUCCUGUUUCGUUGCGAUCGUGAGGAUUCGUUCGUCUACGGUUGGUUCGGCUUCAUCCGUUCGUCUUCUUCAUGGACUCGUUCUUCUUCCUUGCGGGAUUUCAGGCAAGAUGACCGCUACCCUGGAUCUCACUACUAUCAUUGCUAUGCUAGUUGCUUCGUUCUAUCGCUAUGCUGUGCUACCUAUUACCUGUUUAUCAAGCCAUCCCAAAUUGCCAUGAACCUCUAACCUUUGACACCUUUCCUAUGCAAACCGUUGUUUGGCUAUGUUACCGCUUUUGCUCAGCCCCUCUUAUAGCGUUGCUAGUUGCAGGUGAAGUUGAAGAUUUCUCCAUGGUGGACAGGAUUUUGGUUGGGAUAUCACAAUAUCUCUUAUAUUAUUAAUGCAUCUAUAUACUUGGUAAAGGGUGGAAGACUCGGCCUUUUGCCUAGUGUUUUGUUCCACUCUUGCCGCCCUAGUUUCCGUCAUAGCGGUGUUAUGUUCCCGGAUUUUGCGUUCCUUACGCGGUCGGGUGAUUUAUGGGACCCCCUUGACAGUUCGCUUUGAAUAAAACUCCUCCUGCAAGGCCCAACCUUGGUUUUACCAUUUGCCUCACCACCACCUACUUUUCCCUUGGGAGUCGCUCUCUCGAGGGUCAUCUUUAUUAUAGCCCCCCCGGGCCAGUGCUUGUCUAAGUAUUGGUCCGAACUAGAGCCCUUUGCAGCGCCCCCUCAGUGAAACUUGAGGUCUGGUUUUAGUUGUACGGAUUGCUCAUCCGGUGUUGCCCUGAGAACAAGAUAUGUGCAGCUCCUAUCAGGAUUGUCAGCGCACCGGGCGGUCUUGCUGGUCUUGUUUUACCAUUGUCGAAAUGUCUUGUAAACCGGGAUUUCGAGUCUAAUCGGGUCUUCCUGGGAGAAGGUCUAUUCCUUCAUUGAUCGCGAGAGCUUGUCAUGGGCUAAGUUGGGACACCCCUGCAGGGUAUAAUCUUUCAAAAGCCGUGCCUGUGGUUACAGGCAGAUGGGAAUUUGUUAAUGUCCGGUUGUAGAUAACUUGACACCAGAUCCGAAUUAAAACGCAUCAACUGUGUGUGUAGCCGUGAUGGUCUCUUUUCGGCGGAGUCCGGGAAGUGAACACGGUCUUUGGGUUAUGUUUGACGUAAGUAGGAGUUCAGGAUCACUUCUUGAUCAUUGCUAGCUUCACGACCGUUCUGCUUGCUCUCUUCUCGCUCUUAUUUGCGUAUGUUAGCCACCAUAUAUGCUUAGUCGCUGCUGCAACCUCACCACUUUGCCCCUUCCUUUCCUAUUAAGCUUUGCUAGUCUUGAUACCUAUGGUAAUGGGAUUGCUGAGUCCUCGUGGCUCACAGAUUACUACAACAACAGUUGCAGGUACAGGUUUUGCGAUGAUCAUGACGCGAGAGCGAUGUUUGCUUGUGUUGGAGUUCUUCUUCUGCUUCUUCUUUGAUCAGGGGAUAGGUUCCAGGUCGGCAGCCUAGGCUAGCAGGGUGGAUGUCGUUUGAGUUUCUGUUUGUGUUUCAUCCGUAGUCGGAUGAUGCUCUUAUGUAUUGUAAUGUUGUAUUCAUGUGGCAUUGUAUGCCUGAUGUAUGUAUCCCCAUCUAUUAUGUAAUGUUGAUGUAAUGAUAUCCACCUUACAAAAGCGUUUCAAUAUGCGGGUCUAUCCUUGGUGGGACGUUCGAGUUCCUUUUGGAUAGGGUCGCAUAUUGGGCGUGACACCUGCGGUUCAUCUUCAACCUCCACCCCCCUGAGCCGCCAGCCACCACCGGCCAAACAGCAGCCCCCCACCGCCUACGGUCGGCGGUGCGCCGCCUCGCCCGCCCCGGAAACACUCCCCACNNNNNNNNNNNNNNNNNNNNNNNNNNNNNNNNNNNNNNNNNNNNNNNNNNNNNNNNNNNNNNNNNNNNNNNNNNNNNNNNNNNNNNNNNNNNNNNNNNNNNNNNNNNNNNNNNNNNNNNNNNNNNNNNNNNNNNNNNNNNNNNNNNNNNNNNNNNNNNNNNNNNNNNNNNNNNNNNNNNNNNNNNNNNNNNNNNNNNNNNNNNNNNNNNNNNNNNNNNNNNNNNNNNNNNNNNNNNNNNNNNUUUCUUCAGCGAUCCCCACGCCACCGCCCCGUCAACGCCCCGCCACCGCCGGCGACCACUGCCCCCAUCCUGAACCCUAAGAUAGAUAGUGGGGUACCUCUCCGGCGAGCCCCCUCCCUGCUGCGGCUGGUUCUUCCUUCACCCCGGCAAGCCCACCCCUUGAAAAUCGACUGACCCAAAAGUCGAUUUAGUCGACUGAAGUGUAGCUAAAUCGGAGCAGCAUCGCAAGCAAGAGCAAGAGCGAUAGCAGCAACACGAGCAAGAGCAAUAGCAAGAGCAGACCAGGUAGGGGACCGAGAGCAAGAGCAGAGCAGCAACAUGAGCGAGAGCUAAAGCAGCAUCAGCUCCUACUAAUGUGGACGUCGCCGCCGAGGGAGCGACGCCGUGGAGGAAGUGGCCGGCGACGCCGCCAUGGAUGGAGCCGUGCCGUGUCGGCUCGGGACCGAGCGCCGACAACACCGUGAGAUCGAAUCAAGAAGAAAAUGCGGCGAUUAGUGUACAACCUCUUUGGUGGCGUCGAUUAGGCCGCAGCUUCAUCCGAGGAAAUGGUGAUGAUGAUGCUCUUCUAGUGGUGCAGGUGAAGACGGCGGUGUGGGAAUGGAGGUGGCCCGAAAGACGAGGGAAACGUCGGGGCAGCUCCUUGGAGGUGGAAGACGGGGUGGCUGAACCGGCAGGACUAUGAGAUCGACAACGGAUCCUCAUCCGGUACGGUGGAUGAGGGACGUCGAGGUGUUUCUGUGGACGACGUCGUCGGGGAAGAGGCUCCGACUGGGUGGCGGACGGAGCAGGGUGUGGGGUUUUGUCGCGGGUUUUCGCGGCCUCGGUGUACGAAUGGGUGGGCGGAUGGGAUGGCAGUGGGGAACCAUGGCUAAGGGACGCGCUUGUCCGAAAUGUGGGGUAAGUUACGAAAGUAACCCCCACCGAUUUGAGGCGGUUCUUUCGGUUCAGGGGUGCCACGGGCAUUUCACGUGUCGGGAUUUCACAGGAGGUGGGAGUUUUCUCGCGCGUUGUAAUUUUAGAAUAGCAAGGCGCGGGUUGAGAUGGAGGGAGUUGUCGGAGCACAACGAGACAAAGAUAUAUCUUAAAUAUUUCGGGCUAACAAGGCGCGGGUUGAAAUUACCGGACAAGCCUAACUUGUACUGUACCAAAUCAAUGCGCACUACAAAUGUCAUUCAAAACUUUGAAUUCAUGUUAUGUUCAAUUAAAAUAUUUCACUACGUGUAUAAUGCAUGCAACCUACUACUCAAAUAAACGUUUUAGUGCAUUCCAAAGGUAUAUACUACCGCUUCAAUAUGAACUAAAUUUGAAUAAGAUCUACAGUAAUGAUUGUUGUGAAGUCAAAGCAUUUGAAUGCGUUUCUCUGUUUUAAUAAGAUCUACAAUCAUCAUUAUUGUCAAGUUAAACCAUUGUUUGUGUAUUAUCUUCACAACACACCACAUGAUUAGUCUCGAGUUACAUAUGAACUAUGUGUACUAUAUGAACUCGAACUAGAUUUUUUGAAUCCACUUUAUUUUGAUUUCAAAUCACAUUACAUUUCUAGCUCUAGCUAGAUCUUCAUAAUCUAAACCAUGUCUCAUAUGUAUAAUGUGUUUAUCACAUUAUGUAUGGUGCCCCGCCCCCUACGCCUACAAGUAUUUAGAUGUGAGUUGCAAACACCACACAUUACCAAAAAUUCAAAUAAAAUGUGAGAAUGUUCGAUAUAUAGUAUUGUUUAGAUUGCUUGAUAUUUAGUUGUAACCUGCAAACGCCACACAUUAUCACAAAUUCAAAUAAAAUGUGAGAUUGUUUGAUGUAUAUUAUGGUUUAGAUUGUUCGGCAUUUAGCUGUGAGUUGCAAACGCCAUGCAUUAUCACAUUAUGGUAUAACAUGUGCACAACACGUGUAUCACCACUAUAUUCAUGCAUGCAAUUUUUAAAACACUAUGAUCUCCUAUUCAAAUAUAUGAAUCCGAUUUCAUAUCAAAUUAUGAUCUUUGUUAGUCUCUUACACCCACACAAUCCUCUAACCUUUGUAGCUACCACUAACUUUCUCUCGUGCAUGCACACGCCCUCCUCGCCCUCCCCUCCCUCGGCAUUCUAUCCACUAGGCACAUUCAUUUUUUUCUUUAGGUCAUUCUCCCAGAGUCUCCACAACUCCUUUCCGACACACACCGAUCGAUAAACCUCUCCAGCGAUGCCUGCCUACAACAUACACACACACACCUUGAAUCUCCUCCUUCAUAUGUCCUUGCCUCGUGUCUCUCAUACGGUCAGACACACGUGUAAACUCUCACCCCUCUUUUCAUCGAUCUCACAACCGCACACUCCUCCCCCUAUCUAGCUAGUAGUCGGGCCUCUCACACCACCUCCUAGCUCCAUUCCCUUUGUCUAUCCGUCUCGCUGGGCCUUAUUUGCCUCUAACAAAUGGACAUACACCGACCGAUCUCUCGCUAUACAUAUAGCUAGCUAGGUCCUUAUAACUCGUUUUUACCCACACGUCGAUUGAUCUACCUCAUUAGUUGUGUCUCUCCCUUCCUCCGACAAACAACAAUUGAUCUACCGAUCUAGUUAGAUUUGCUUACCAAACACAUGGUUGCCCUUCAUCAUCCAUGGAUGCGUCCCGAUAGAUCUAUCACGCACAGGCACACACAGAAACACAUCCACACUCUUAUUGAUAACAUUGCAGUUCCACCCUCAGUUUGUCUAGUAGGCCUCUCCCAACAUCUCCUAGAAGCAACUCCAUCACCCAUCCAGCACUCUACCCCUCUCCCUCCCUCUCCCUCCCUCUAUCUCUCUCCUCUCUCUCUCUCUCUGUCCCAUCAUAUUUCCCGUCCUUCAGUUAUGUAUGGAUGUCGACCGAUCUCCCUCAAGACAUAGCCGGGUCUCUCCUUCUCAACACAUAUACGAGUCGCUCUACCUCUAUAGUUAGGCCUCUGCCUACCCCUCCCCCCACCCCCCUCCCCCCCACACACACCGAUACAUCAAGCGCUCUAGUCAUGUCUCCCUGCCACACACAAACUUGACAUGUGCCCUCUAACGUUCCGGUAGGCCAGUCNNNNNNNNNNNNNNNNNNNNNNNNNNNNNNNNNNNNNNNNNNNNNNNNNNNNNNNNNNNNNNNNNNNNNNNNNNNNNNNNNNNNNNNNNNNNNNNNNNNNNNNNNNNNNNNNNNNNNNNNNNNNNNNNNNNNNNNNNNNNNNNNNNNNNNNNNNNNNNNNNNNNNNNNNNNNNNNNNNNNNNNNNNNNNNNNNNNNNNNNNNNNNNNNNNNNNNNNNNNNNNNNNNNNNNNNNNNNNNNNNNNNNNNNNNNNNNNNNNNNNNNNNNNNNNNNNNNNNNNNNNNNNNNNNNNNNNNNNNNNNNNNNNNNNNNNNNNNNNNNNNNNNNNNNNNNNNNNNNNNNNNNNNNNNNNNNNNNNNNNNNNNNNNNNNNNNNNNNNNNNNNNNNNNNNNNNNNNNNNNNNNNNNNNNNNNNNNNNNNNNNNNNNNNNNNNNNNNNNNNNNNNNNNNNNNNNNNNNNNNNNNNNNNNNNNNNNNNNNNNNNNNNNNNNNNNNNNNNNNNNNNNNNNNNNNNNNNNNNNNNNNNNNNNNNNNNNNNNNNNNNNNNNNNNNNNNNNNNNNNNNNNNNNNNNNNNNNNNNNNNNNNNNNNNNNNNNNNNNNNNNNNNNNNNNNNNNNNNNNNGAGCGCAGUUUGUAUCUCUCACACACACCCACGUAGGUGGGGGACGUGCACGAAGAGAAGAGGUGCAUGCAUGGUGCACGUACUCCCGUCUCUUUCCCAACCACACCCGCGCGGGUAAAUGGUGGAGCUCAUUUCUGUAUGAAAAAGGCAGCCCACAUGGUAAUUUGGCAUGUGUACUGGUUGUCCACUUGGUGGAGGGAGGAUCGUCUACCAUGGGUGAACAAACAAAUUGCGACUUGACGCGUUAUGUUAAAUUAAAAAAAGAGGCAAACCAUGUGGGGCCUACCUUAGAGGCAAGGCUCUAUACAUUGGAGUACUUUUGAUGUGUCCCGUCAACUCGCAGAAUGAGGAGAAGCUUGCUUAGUACGCCGUCUCCCCCGCCCACAAGCGCGGUGGCUCGCAGGAUGAGGUGAAGCUUGCUCCGCCUUACGCCCGCUCCCUCGCCCAUGCGCGCGGUGGCUCGCAGGACGAGGAGAAAAAUUUACUACUCCCUCCGUUUACUCCUCGUCCCUACUACCUUGGUUAUAGAGAUUAUAUCAUAUUGUUUGGAAUAUAUAUGUCCUUUAGUAGAUUUCAAUAUGAACUACUAGUACAUACUCCAAUCACUGAUGUAUAUAGACGUAUUUUAGAGUGUAGAUUCACUCAUUUUGCUCCGUAUGUACUACUACCUCUGUCCGGGUUUAUUGGUCCCCAUUGUAUUUCGUGCCAAAUUUUGACCAUAGAUUAAACUAAGAAAAUGUUCAUGCAUGUCACCAAACAUUAUUUUUGAAAACUAUGUUAAAAUACGAAUCCAAUGAGAUAAUUUUUCUUGACAUGCAUUAACAUUUUGUUAGUUAAUCUUUAGUCAAAAUUUGGCACAAACUAUAAAAGGGACCUAUAAACAAGGACGGAGGUAGUAGCCCUCUCCCUCGCCCCUUGACCCUCGCCCAUGUGGUGGACGUGCAACAAUUCAUUCGGUCUCAUAUAGCCAGAAUGAUAUAUACUGCACUACCAUUAUUGCUCGACUUCCCGAAGAGGCGAAGAGCCAAUCGCAAGGUUAAUAUUUUGGAGAUGCCAAGCGCAAGGUUAUAGGAGAACGAGUAGUAGGUGCCAUGUCAUUUAUAGAUAAAGUUUUUUUUUCUUCAGUGGCACGUACGCAAUAUGAUAGGUUCAUAUGGAGAGAAAAGGAAACCGCUCCACUAUAUACAUAGUCAGGACGGGCCAGCCUACAUGGUUGCUUGCUGGGGUUGCUCUCUUCAUACUCUCUCGCACAAAAUGACUGUGGCCACAUCUCUAACAUCCCGGUGGAUCACGUCCGCUUGGGGAAGGGGUGGAUGCUUAGUGUAGAUGCGGUGGCCGUCGUCGACGGCGAAAACCCACUGUCGGCAUGUCCCGAUCAGGGGUCCCCGCCGUUCUCUCUCACAAAGCCGGUGCGGUUGCCUUCGUCACUUGCUCAUUGCCACGACGUAGGAAGUUGCCGCCUCCCGCCGCCCUCCUCAAGGUUGAGCUACAUCCCUCAGGUACAACUCCCUUUACAGCCGGCUUGCACCACUGCUCCAGCUGCCCACAUCACUCCCUAUGGAUAUUUCUCUACUUGUUUGCCCCGCACAUACCUGAUACCUCUACUGGCUUCUACAUACUGUAUUUGUGAUGAGUUUAUGUCUCAUCAACUAGUCCCAAUAAUCUUAUUCUAAUCACGCUUCUUCAAUUUCUUUGCCACAUGGAUGUUCAUCUCGAUUUUGGUGAAACUGCACAAAAUGAUCCGAUGGUCAAAAGGUUGCAAACUUCAUUUAUUAGAAAGAUCGAAAGAUGCCAGCAAAUUGAAGCCUGGUCAAGGUUCACGGUUCAAGGGCUAGGGACUGCAUGGAUCGUUUUUUUCUUUAGCUGCCUCUGUUCCAAAAUAAGUGUCAACUUUAGUAGUAGUACAACUUUGUACUAAAGUUUGCACAAAGUUGAGACACUUAUUUUGGAAUGGAGGGAGUACAUAUUUGCUAUGAUCUGUCAAUCAUUGAGAUGCAAUAGCAUGCAUGUUAGUCUCCUUUGUAUUUGAUGAAAUGUUGCAACGGGCAACCUUGGACACAAGAUACAUGUAACAGGAGCUGGAAGCUUCAUAGCAUUGUACAAAUUUAUCUCGCUGAUAAAUUACAGUAUGUAGUACUAUACUAGUACUUACUCUGUUCCUAAAUAUAAGUCUUUGUAGAGAUUUCACCACUAUAUAGAUGCAUUUUAAGUGUAGAUUCAUUCAUUUUGUUCCGCAUGUAAUUCACCUAGUGGAAUCUCUACAAAGACUUAUCUACUAGUAAUAGCUAGCCCCCACUACUAGGAAUUCUCUAUCCUCUCCUUGAGCCACAUCAUCAAAAUUGAUGUAGCUUUUAGAUGAAGUAAAUCAGUCCAUAAUAGCCAUCUGAUCUAGACGUUGAGAGGCUCCGCACUAAGCCACAUGCAAGCAUGCAGAAAUACCGUGGCACAUGCAUGUGAGUGGGUUUUAAAUCACAUCAACAUGUCUGCAUGCAAGCAUGCACCGGUAGCAUGCAUGUAAGUGAGCUUUUAAGUCCCAUUAACAUGUCAAAAAGAAAAAUAUAAUCCCAUUAUGCAGUAGGAGUUGGCUGAUCUUUUUUCCUUACGUGGGAUGAUCUAAAUGAUGAUGGGAGUUUAUUUAGUUUGGCUACCACAUUUGUCAUGCGCUUAUAGAGUUUUUUUAGUUCUAUGAAAUCGAUAAUUUUGCGCAGAGAGAUAUACCGCUAUUCCGCGGCAACGCGCGGGGGGACUCAUCUAGUAAUAUUUAGGUACAGAGGGAGUACUAUGUAAAGAGUUAGGUGUCGCACGGUGAUAGUGUGAGGUGGGCCAUGUAAUCACUGAGCCUGCGUGUUUUCACGGCUCUUGCACUCCUCCGCUGUAAGAAUGGAGAAAAUUGUAAUCUAGUAGUAGUAGUACCUCCUUUCGCCGAAAGCGUGGGACAUCCAGCAGUCCUACCACCUCAGUAAUAAAGACCAAUGAGCCGUCAAAUCACAUAGACCUAGCAGUAAGUUGGACAGACGAAGCAACCAUCACUCUUGCGCCAGUGAAAGGUCGCGCCCGCUCUGCCCGGGCAUGAAUGCGACACCGAUUCUUUGGAGCGGCGCUGACCGUUUCGGGCGGGAAGCGCACGCGGGCGAUGGAGGGGCUUUGGGUGGGCCAGGCUGGUCAGGAGCGAGCGUGGCAGCUGUCCGCAUGUCCCUACCGGACACGCCCGGAAACGAGAGGAUGCACCGACUCUCGUAGCUAAAAUCGUACACUACACACCAUCUCUCUGUAGGAGUAGGUUGAUCUAUCGCACUCUCUAACACACACAUGCUGUUAAACACACACACGCACACGCAUGCACCUUGGUCCUGUUGCACCGUCUAACCUGACUUAUUACACCUAUAUGGAGGGAGUAGUAAGUAUACGAGAUACGGUGGCACACUGACUUAAGUCGAAUACAAGUGCCCAAAAUUUGUGUGCAUGUUAUAAUAAGGAUUCACUUAAAAUAGUACGUGAGCGAACAGAGGGAUCAAUUGGAUAGUGUUCCCGAGCAGUAGCGAGAUGUGUGAGGUAAGAUACACCGCUGACGCUUUUAAGUUUUCUUAUUAAUUUGUUUGUUUCACCCUCUGACUGGUGGGACCCAACGUACUACAUGGAGAGAGGUAAGGUGACUAAGGCUGCAUUAUUUCUGCACCACUGUGGAUAGUCUUACCACCAAAGCCACAUGACACGAUUAUGAUUGAAAUCCCAAUGACUCCCACACACACAAAAAAACACACACGGCAUGCUUGUCACACGAAUGCAGGAAUGUAUAAAAGGUUAUUUUCCUCUCGUUGAACAUAACGGGAGGGUUGUGUAGCUGGUUAGCCUGUUCGCUCAUCAAACUUGAGGUCUCGGGUUCGAUAACUACACUUGAGCAUAAUUUUUGCUAGGAGGAUUCUUUGACUGGUCAAAAUGUUUUCUAGGGUUUGCACGCUUCACACUCUCUCUCCAGUAUAUAUACACGCUGGAGCCUCAACGCUUGUAGUUGCUCUCUUCACACUCUCUCGCCCUCUCCCGCUGGAGCCUCAGCGCUUGUAGUUGCUCUCUUCACACUCUCUCGCCCUAUCCAGAUCUAAACAAGACAUCGUUGGCCUCUCUCUCCCCUCACUGCUGCUCAAAGAGCCGGCGGGAUACGUCCGCUGGGAAGGGAAGGAGGCUUAACGUUGUCGCCGUCGGCAAGGGAGGGAAUCCACUACCGGCGCAGCUGUUCACUUUCCACCCAGCAGAAGCGCGGGAGGGCCUCCGACCCAUUCUUCUUCGCCGCUGUCCCGUCGCCCACCGAACCAUGCCGCAAGAUCCUUAAGGUAUAUUUUACUUACUCCACAUGCAUUGCUCUAGCUACAUGUAUACCAUGAAUCUAGGACGUGGUUCAAAGAGGAAAGGAGUGGGGGAAAGUAGUGGGAAAAGUUGUAUAUAGCAUGAAUCUAGGACGUGGUUCAAAGAGGAAAUGAAGGGGGAAAUUUCUAUAGCAUGAAUCUAGGAAGUGGUUCAAAGAGGAAAGGAAUGGGGGAAAGUAGUGGGGAAAGUUGUAUCGCAUAAAUCUAGGACGUGGUUCAAAGAGGAAAGGAAGGGGCAAAAGUACUAGUUCAAAAAGGAAAGGAAGGGACAAGGCUAUGGAGUUUGAGCAGGACUAGAUUUGCUGCGCUCACAUAGGGAAAGGUGUCUAAAGAUAAAAAAACUAGGACCAACACAAAUAUGCUCCUUGGUUGUUUGUUCUUUGUUGCAACAGACUGUGCAUGACCAAAGUACAUCGGUAGAGGCACAUGGUGCUGGUACGUCCACUGUCCCGUGCAACUCAUUAGCUAUUGUUAAUCUAAGGCCCUGUUUGGUUAAAAACUCCCUAGUCCCUACCUGCUUGGUUCCAGGGACUAAACAUGGACUAGAGGUUAUUAAAUGACAUGCUAAAAGACCAUGUUACCCCUAGUAAUGAACUAAUAGAAACAAGGUGCGAUGCGUGGCAGGGGCAACUGUUGGAAAAAGUCCCAAAAAGACUCCCUCGGGGUCUUCUUUCUUUAGUCCCAAAUGCCCACUUUUAGUCCCUAAAAGUCCCUCGUGUUUGGUUUAGAUGGGACUGACACGGAGUUUUUUUAGUCCCUACACCAAAAUGUCCCUGUAAACAAACACCCUCUAAUAAUGCCGUUGGAAAAUUGAUGCAAUGCCAUAGUUAAAAGCAAAUUACAUGUUUAACAAAUUUUAUUGUUAAUAUAAUCUCUAUGUUAAUAUUAAUCAAUGCCACCGUUUGAGAAAUGCUACUGUCUUGCUUUCUUUCCCAUUUAGAUAAGGUAGAUACUUCUUUUUGUUGGCUUCUGUGUCAUCCACCGUUAUUGAUCACUAAUUGUUUCCUUUGCACCUCUGUGUAAAUAGGGUUAUCUACUUCACCUCGUUGCCAUUGUGACCUUUUGUUGCACUGCACAAAACACUUUUGUUUUAAGUGUGUUUUGUGCAGUUCAACCAAAAUGUUACACCGACAACGUUGCUUGAUUGCUUGAUCUUAGUGGAAUUGCACAAGAGGAGAUCUUACUUCCUAUCCGUUAAGGCGAAUUUGGUUCAGAUCUUCUUCUUGUGAGUUGUUUGAAUUCUGCAUCAUGAGAGGUCUUCUUAUUGAACCAAGUGAUGAAGGGGAAGAACAAGCGGAAUAAAAACAAAAAUCAACUCCCGGUGCUGUAAUGAAGCACUGGAACUGUGAUGACAGAAGUAAUGAUAUAGUUUUGCAUCUUAAUUUAUUGCUAUGGCUGGAACGAGCAAUUGUUUUGCCACUGAGUUGAUGACAUACGUAAUUAUCUCUACUUGUGCAAAUAGGGAUCUUCUUUGAAGAUACCAUAUGUUUUAGUGGAACUGCACAAGAAGAUGUUGGAAACAUUAAACUAAUCGAGGAGUAUAUAGUAAGCAUGGCCACCCCCGUAGAUAGCAACAGAUGGUUCCGGAGAAGUGCUUCAUCUGUAUGCUCUACACAAUCAGCCUCCUGACAAAGGUUGAUACUCGCCCACUGAUUUCAUCCAUAUGAUUGAGCUUUGUCAUCUCUAUUGGUGUUGUGCUACUGUUUAGAUACUGUCAUGAAAAAGUGGUAUUGUCCUUGAGAAGUGCUUCAUCUGUGCUGUUUUAAAUAUUUCCUUUCCUUUUUUUCGAGCAAACAGGGAUGCUAGCAUUUAGUAGUCCUCUUGUCUUUGCACAACAGGAUCAUCUUCCUCUAAAGAAGAAUAUGGAGUACCUGAAGUGACUAGUUCCGAUUAUGCCAGGAUGAAGAAGCCCUGUCUAUCUUCUCAUCAGAAGGAGCAGUUGAAGGAUGGUUACAUUACUCCCCACAAGACCAAACUAAGUUCAGCUCAGAAGGACUGACAAAUCUCCAUUUUUUUGCUGUGAUGCGCGAGUACAAUGUUGUUCUAGGAUUCUUUCUGGUGAGUUCCAUUUUUCUAAAAGUGUGCUCUACAUGGACCAUGUAUGUGCCUGUUGAAGCUGUCAAUUCAUAGUAUAGUUUGCUUUAUACUAAUCACUUUUUUGUAUUUGUGCAAACAGGGGUGCUCAGCUUGAUUUCAAUGGGAACUUCUCAAAAUGUUCAUGAAUACAUCGAAUCAUUCAUUUCCACCACAAGAAAGGAUGUGCCCAUAUGUUCAAGGCGUUGCAACAUAUAAGGGCGAAAUCAUACAAGCUACGCGCGAAUUUGGUUGAUUUUGGUGGAACUGCACAAAAAGAACAGCUGGUUUAUUUAGCACGAGGUGCCAUGUCAAUGUCCAAACUGAUGGCAAACCCUGCCCAUUCCACAAUCCUAGGCAUUUGAUAUUUUGGAAUGGGACAACCUUGUCAAAUUUUGCUCAUUGAUUUUAGCAAGAUAUGCGUUUGAUAUUUUUUGAAUGGGCCGCCCUUUGCUGUCAGCAUCGUCGAUCAAUUUUUUCUUUAUUCUUUAGUUGUGAAGUAAAUAUUGCCUCUGACAUGUGAGUCGCUGAGAUGCAUAAUCAUUGAUUGUUUUGAAUGUUCUCCAUGAAUUUCCAGGCCUGUGUGUUUGAUUGCAAUGUACAGAAACGCUAAAAAGCUGCUCAAACUCUUUGUACUCCUUCUGUUCCUUUUUACUUCGCACAUUGUGAAAGUGCAUACUUUUUUGUAUAAGAUUGGUCAAAGUAGAGAUACUUUGACUGCAGACAAAACUUGUAUGCAGACUAGAAAGGACCGGAGGGAGUACAUGUGAAACUGCUGCAAACGAGGUGAUCACCCUGGGAAUAAUGCUAGUACGUAUUGUUUUGCAUGUUCAUCCAAUGCCAGUGAUACAGGAAUUCGACCUAAUCGAAAUAAAUUCAUUCAUACACGGUCGAAUUUCAUAUAAACAUGCCGGAUUUCAUUACAUUUCAUAAAUUCUUCAACUAAAAAGGGGUGCGCUGGAGGUAUAAUUAAUUAACCAAAGCUACCCACCCAUGUCCCGCUGAGCCGAACAGAAGCUUCAGUGACUUAACUGCAUGUGCAGUUGCGUAACUGACAUGUGGCCUGUUGGGCCCACGUGUCAGUCAUCCAACUGCACCAGCAGUUAAGUAGAAGCAGCGUUCUUCUCCAGCGCAGCUCUCCGACUCCACGUCGCCGCCAAGAAGCUAACCGGCCGUCAAUGGUCAACCCGCCUAGCUUGGCUUCAACCAGAGGGUAGCAGCGGUGAAAGUGCAACAAUCCCUAGGUGGUUUUGGUAAUUCCUAACAACAUAUAGCUCAUUGAGCUAAUACUAUUCCAAGACAAAUAUUUCAGAAAAGCUCAAUGAAUGGCAUGGCAUGGAUGAGGAAAGUGGAUCCCUCAAAAUACUAAGGAUAAAAGGAUUGGCUCAAGCUCAAAAGCUCAAGACUCUACAUUUUAUAUUUUAGUGAUCCAAGAUCACAUUGAGUCUAUAGGAAAAGCCAAUACUAUCAAGGAGGGAUGAGGUGUUGUUUAAUGAGUUUCUUGCUUCAAGUGCUUAGUGAUAUGCUCCAAAAAGCCUCAACUACUUUCUCAUAUCCACCUAUGUUUUGGGGAACGUAACAGAAAUUCAAAAUUUUCUAUGCAUCACCAAGAUCAAUCUAUGGAGAGACUAGCAACGAGAGAGAGAGGGAGUGCAUCUUCAUACCCUUGAAGAUCGCUAAGCGGAAGCGUUACAAGAACGCGGUCGGUGGAGUCGUUCACGAAGCGAUUCAGAUCGCGGCCGAAUCCGAUCUAAGCACCGAAGAACGAUGCCUCCGCGUUCAACACACGUACAGCUCGGGGACGUCUCCUCCUUCUUGAUCCAGCAAGGGGAGAGGAGAAGUUGAGGGAAAACUCCGACAGCACGAUGGCAUGGUGGUGAUGGAGCUCGUGGUUCUCCGGUAGGGCUUCGCCAAGCACUACGGAGGAGGAGGAGGUGUUGGAGGAGGGAGAGGGAUGCGCCAGGGAAAGGGUGUGGCUUCCCUCUCUCUCCCUCACUAUAUAUAGGGGGGAGGGAGGAGGGGGAGGCGCCCUAGGGUUCCCUAGGGGAGGGGCAACGGCCACAGGGGAAACCCUAGAUGGGUUUGGGCGCCCCCACCCCCUAGGAAACUUGCCCCCCAAGCCGGGAGGGGCGGCUGUCCUAGGGGUGGCGCCCCCACCUCUCCUGGUUACGUGAGAUGGGGUGGGAGGGGCGCUCAGCCCCUUAGGGGGCUGAUGUGCCCCCUCCCCUUGGCCCAUAAGGCCCCCAACGCUUGCCGGGGCCUCCGAAACCCCUUUCGUACACGCUGGUCAUCACCUGGUACCCCCAGAACAAUUCCGGACUCCAAUACCCUUCGUCCAAUAUAUCGAUCUUCGUCUCCGGACCAUUCCGGAGUUCCUCGUCACGUCCGGGAUCUCAUCCGGGACUCCGAACAACCUUCGGUAACCACAUACUAUUUCCCAUAACAACUCUAGCGUCACCGAACCUUAAGUGUGUAGACCCUACGGGUUCGGGAACCAUGCAGACAUGACCGAGACACCUCUCCGGCCAAUAUACAAUAGCGGGAUCUGGAUACCCAUAUUGGCUCCCACAUGUUCCACGAUGAUCUCAUCAGAUGAACCACGAUGUCGGGGAUUCAAUCAAUCCCGUAUAGAAUUCUCUUUGUCAAUCGGUACAUUACUUGCCCGACAUUUGAUCGUUGGUAUCCCAAUACCUCGUUCAAUCUCGUUACCGGCAAGUCACUUUACUCGUUCCGUAAUGCAUGAUCCCGUGACUAACUACUUAGUCACAUUGAGCUCAUUAUGAUGAUGCAUUAUCGAGUGGGCCCAGAGAUACCUCUCCGUCAUACGGAGUGACAAAUCCCUGUCUCGAUUCGUGCCAACCCAACAAACACUUUCGGAGAUACCUGUAGUGCACCUUUAUAGUCACCCAGUUACGUUGUGACGUUUGGUACACCCAAAGCACUCCUACAGUAUCAGGGAGUUACACAAUCUCAUGGUCUAAGGAAAUGAUACUUGACAUUAGAAAAGCUUUCGCAAAUGAACUACACGAUCUUGUGCUAUGCUUAGGAUUGGGUCUUGUCCAUCAUAUCAUUCUCCUAAUGAUGUGAUCCCGUUAUCAAUGACAUCCAAUGUCCAUGGUCAGGAAACCAUGACCAUCUGUUGAUCAACGAGCUAAUCAACUAGAGGCUCACUAGGGACAUGUUGUGGUCUAUGUAUUCACACAUGUAUUGCGGUUUCCGGUCAAUACAAUUAUAGCAUGAAUAAUAGACAAUUAUCAUGAACAAGGAAAUACAAUAAUAACCAUUUUAUUAUUGCCUCUAGGGCAUAUUUCCAACAGUCUCCCACUUGCACUAGAGUCAAUAAUCUAGUUCACAUCACUAUGUGAUUGUAAUGAAUCAACACCCAUGGGUUUUGAUCAUAUCUCGCUUGUGAGAGAGGUUAUUAGUCAACAGAUCUGAACCUUUCAGAUCCGUGUGUGCUUUGCAAAUCUCUAUGUCAUCUCCUAGAUGCAGCUACCACGCUCUAUUUGGAGCUAUUCCAAAUAACUGUUCUACUAUACGAAUCCGGUUUACUACUCAGAAUAAUCCGGAUUAGUGUCAAAGUUUGCAUCGGCGUAACCCUUUACGACGAACUCUUUUACCACCUCCAUAAUCGAGAAAAUUCCUUAGUCCACUAGUUACUAAGGAUAAGUUUGACCGCUGUCCUGUGAUCCAUUCCUGGAUCACUCUUGUACCCCUUGACUGACUCAUGGCAAGGCACACUUCAGGUGCGGUACACAGCAUUGCAUACUAUAGAGCCUACGUCCGAAGCAUAGGGGACGACCUUCGUCCUUUCUCUCUCUUCUGCCAUGGUCAUGUCUUGAGUCUUACUCAAUAUUCACACCUUAUAACACAGCCAAGAACUCCUUCUUUGCCGAUCUAUUUUGAACUCCUUCAAAAUAUUGUCACGGUAUGUAUUUAUUUGAAAGUACUAUUAAGCGUUUUUGAUCUAUCCUUAUAGAUCUUGAUGCUCAAUGUUCAAGUAGCUUAAUCCAGGUUUUCCAUUGAAAAACACUUUUCAAAUAACCCUAUAUGCUGUCUACAAAUUCUACAUCAUUUCUGAUCAACAAUAUGUUAAUAACACAUACUCAUCAGAAAUUCUAUAGUGCUCCCACUCACUUCUUUGGAAAUAAAAGUUUCUCAUAAACUUUGUAUAAACCCAAAAUCUUUGAUUAUCUCAUCAAAGCGUAUAUUCCAACUCCGAGAUGCUUACUCCAGUCCUUAGAAGGAUUGCUGGAGCUUUGCAUACUUGUUAGCAUCUUUUAGGAUUGACAAAACCUUUUGGUUGUAUCACAUACAACCUUUCCUCAAGAAUAUCAUCAAGGAAACAAUGUUUUGACAUCCUAUCUGCAAGAUCUCAUAAAUCAUGCAGUAACUACUAAUAUAAUUCCAACAGACUCUUUAGCAUCGCUACGAGUGAGAAAGUCUCAUCGUAGUCAACUCCUUGAACUUGUCGGAAAACAUCUUAACGACAAGUCGAGCUUUCUUAAUGGUGACACUUACCAUCAUUGUCCGUCUUCCUUUUAAAAUCCAUUUGUACCCAACAGCCUUAUGACCAUUAAGUAGUUCUGCCAAAGUCUACACUUUGUUUUCAUACAUGGAUCCUCUCUUGGAUUUUAUGGCCUCGAGCCAUUCAUCGGAAUCCGGGCCCAUCAUCGCUUCUCCAUAGCUCGUAGGUUUACCGUACCACUCCGAAGCAGUACGCGUCCUUGUCGACCUACGAGGUUCGGUAGUGACUUGAUCCAAAGUUUCAUGAUCACUAUCAUCAGCUUCCACUUCAAUUGGUGUAGGUGCCACAGGAACAACCUCCUGUGCCCUGCUACACACUGGUUGAAGUGAUGGUUCAAUAACCUCAUCAAGUCUCCACCAUCCUCCCACUCAAUUCUUUCGAGAAAAAUUUUUCCUCCAGAAAGGACCCGCUUCUAGAAACAAUCACUUUUGCUUCCGGGUCUGAAUUAGGAGGUAUACCCAACUGUUUUGGGUGUCCUAUGAAGAUGUAUUUAUCCGCUUUGGGUUCGAGCUUAUCAGGAUGAAACUUUUUUCACAUAAGUGUCGCAGCCCCAAACUUUUAAGAAACGACAUCUUAGGUUUCUCUAAACCAUAGUUCACACAGUGUCAUCUCAACGGAAUUAUGUGGUGCCCUAUUAAAUUGAAUGCGGUUGUCUCUAAUGCCUAAUCCAUAAACAAUAGUGGUAAUUCGAUAAGAGACAUCAUGGUAUGCUCCAUAUCCAAUAGGGUGCAUCUAUGAUGUUCGGACACACCAUCACACUAUGGUGUUCCAGGCGGUAUUAGUUGUGAAACAAUUUCCACAAUGUCUUAAUUGUGUACCAAACACGUAACUCAGAUAUUCAUCUCUAUGAUCAUAUCAUAGACAUUUUAUCCUCUUGUCACAACGAUCUUCAACUUCACUCUGAAAUUACUUGAACCUUUCAAUAAUUCAGACUUGUGUUUCAUCAAGUAAAUAUACUCAGCAUCUACUCAAAUCAUCUGUGAAGUAAGAACAUAACGAUAUCCACUGCGUGCCUCAGCACUCAUUGGACUGCACACAUCAAAAUGUAUUACUUCCAACAAGUUGCUUUCUUGUUCCAUCUUACUGAAAACGAGGCUGUUCAGUCAUCUUUCCCAUGUGUUAUGAUUUGCAUGUCUCAAGUGAUUUAGAAUCAAGUGAGUCCGAAUGAUCCAUCUGCAUGGAGUUUCUUCAUGCGCACAUACCAAUAGACAUGGUCCGCAUGUCUCAAACUUUUCAAAACGAGUGAGUCCAAAGAUCCAUCAACAUGGAGCUUCUUCAUGCAUUUUAUACCAAUAUGACUCAAAUGGCAGUGCCACAAGCAGGUGGUACUAUCAUUACUAUCUUAUAUCUUUUGGCAUGAACAUGUGUAUCACUAUGAUCGAGAUUCAAUAAACCAAUUAUUUUAGGUGCAAGACCAUUGAAGGUAUUAUUCAAAUAAACAGAGUAACCAUUAUUCUCCUUAAAUGAAUAACCGUAUUGCGAUAAACAUAAUCCAAUCAUGUCUAUGCUCAAUGCAAACACUAAAUAACAAUUAUUUAGGUUUAACACCAAUCCCGAUGGUAGAGGGAGCGUGCGAUGUUUGAUCACAGCAACCUUGGAAAUACUUCCAACACAUAUCGUCACCUCGCCUUUAGCUAGUCUCCAUUUAUUCCGUAGCCUUUUAUUUUGAGUUACUAACACUUAGCAACUUAACAGGUAUCUAUUACCAUGGUGCUACUAGGAGCACUAGUAAAGUACACAUCAAUAUAAUGUAUAUCCAAUAUACUUCUGUCGACCUUGCCAGCCUUCUCAUCUACCAAGUAUCUAGGGUAGUUCUGCUUCAGUGACCGUUCCCCUUAUUACAGAAGCACUUAGUCUCGGGUUUGGGUUCAACCUUGGGUUUCUUCACUAGAGCAGCAACUGAUUUGCCAUUUCAUGAAGUAUCCCUUCUUGCCCUUUCCCUUCUUGAAACUAGUGGUUUCACUAACCAUCAACAAUCGAUGCUCCUUCUUGAUUUCUACUUUCGCAGUGUCAAACAUCGCGAAUAUUUCAAGGAUCAUCAUAUCUAUCCCUGAUAUGUUAUAGUUCAUCACGAAGCUCUAGUAGCUUGGUGGCAAUGACUUUGGAGAAACAUCACUAUCUCAUGUGGAAGAUUAACUCCCACUCAAUUCAAGUGUUUGUUGUACCCAGACAAUCUGAGUACAAGCUCAGCGAUUGAGCUUUUCUCCCUUAGUUUGUAGGCUAAGAAACUCAUCGGAGGUCUCAUACCUCUUGACGUGGGCACGAGCCUAAAAUCCCAAUUUCAGCCCUUGGAACAUCUCAUAUGUUCCGCGACGUUUCAAAAACAUCUUCGGCGCCACAAUUCUAAACCAUUUAACAUUACUGAACUAUCAUGUAGUCAUCAAAACGUGUAUGUCAGAUGUUCGCAACAUCCACAGACAACGUUCGAGGUUCAGCACACCGAGCGGUGCAUUAAGGACAUAAGCCUUCUACGCAGCAAUGAGGACAAUCCUCAGUUUACGGACCCAGUCCGCAUAAUUGCUACUAUCAACUUUCAACUAAAUUUUCUCUAGGAACAUAUCUAAAACAGUAGAACUAAAACUCGAGCUACGACAUAAUUUGCAAAGACCUUUUGACUAUGUUCAUGAUAAUUAAGUUCAUCUAAUGAACUCCCACUCAGAUAGACAUCCCUCUAGUCAUCUAAGUGAUACAUGAUCCGAGUCAACUAGGCCGUGUCCGAUCAUCACGUGAGACAGACUAGUCAUCAUCGGUGAACAUCUUCAUGUUGAUCGUAUCUUCUAUACGACUCAUGUUCGACCUUUUGUUCUCUUGUGUUCCGAGGUCAUGUCUGUACAUGCUAGGCUCGUCAAGUCAACCUAAGUGUUUUGCAUGUGUAAAUCUGGCUUACACCCGAUCAUCACGUGGUGCUUCGAAACAACGAACUUUCGCAACGGUGCACAGUUAGGGGGAACACUUUCUUGAAAUUUUAAUGAGGGAUCAUCUUAUUUAUGCUACCGUCGUUCUAAGCAAAUAAGAUGUAAACAUGAAAAACAUCACAUGCAAAUCAUAAAGUGACAUGAUAUGGCCAUCAUCAUCUUGCGCCUUUGAUCUCCAUCUUUGAGGCGCGGCAUGAUCACCUUCGUCACCGACAUGACACCAUGAUCUCCAUCAUCGUGUCUCCAUGAAGUUGUCUCGCCAACUAUUACUUCUACUAUUAUGGCUAACGGUUAGCAAUAAAGUAAAGUAAUUACAUGGCGUUGUUCAAUGACAUGCAGGUCAUACAAUAAAUAAGAUAACUCCUAUGGCUCCUGCCGGUUGUCAUACUCAUCGACAUGCAAGUCAUGAUUCCUAUUACAAGAACAUGAUCAAUCUCAUACAUCACAUAUCAUUCAUCACAUUCUUUUUGGCCAUAUCACAUCACAUAGCAUACCCUGCAAAAACAAGUUAGACGUCCUCUAAUUGUUGUUUGCAUGUUUUAAGUGGCUGCUAUGGGUUUCUAGCAAGAACAUUUCUUACCUACGCAAAAGCCACAACGUGAUAUGCCAAUUGCUAUUUACCCUUCAUAAGGACCCUUUUCAUCGAAUCUGGUCGGACUAAAGUGGGAGAGACUGGCACCCGUAGCCACCUUAUGCAACAAGUGCAUGUCAGUCGGUGGAACCUGUCUCACGUAAGUGUACGUGUAAGGUCGGUCCGGGCCGCUUCAUCCAACAAUACUGUUGAAACAAGAUAGGACUAGUAACGGUAAGAAUAUUGAACAAAAUCAACGUCCACAACAACUUGUGUUCUACUCGUGCAUAGAAUCUACGCAAUAGACCUAGCUCAUGAUGCCACUAUUGGGGAACGUAGUAGAAAUUUAAAAUUUUCUAUGCAUCACCAAGAUCAAUCUAUGGAGAGACUAGCAACGAGAGAGAGAGGGAGUGCAUCUUCACACCCUUGAAGAUCGCUAAGCGGAAGCGUUACAAGAACACGGUCGGUGGAGUCAUUCACGAAGCGAUUCAGAUCGCGGCCGAAUCCGAUCUAAGCACCGAACAAUGGUGCCUCCGCAUUCAACACACGUACAGCACGGGGACGUCUCCUCCUUCUUGAUCCAGCAAGGGGAGAGGAGAAGUUGAGGGAAAACUCCGAUAACACGACGACAUGGUGGUGAUGGAGCUCGUGGUUCUCCGGCAGGGCUUCACCAAGCACUACGGAGGAGGAGGAGGUGUUGGAGGAGGGAGAGGGCUGCGCUAGGGAAAGGGUGUGGCUGCCCUCUCUCUCGCUCACUAUAUAUGGGGGGAAGGGAGGAGGGGUAGGCGCCCUAGGGUUCCCUAGGGGAGGGGCGGCGGCCACAGGGGAAACCCUAGAUGGGUUUGGGCGCCCCCACCCCCUAGGAAACUUGCCCCCCAAGCCGGGAGGGGCGGCUUCCCUAGGGGUGGCGCCCCCACCUCUCCUGGUUACCUGAGAUGGGGCGGGAGGGGCACUCAUCCCCUUAGUGGGCUGAUGUGCCCCCUCCCCUUGUCCCAUAAGGCCCCCAACGCUUGUCGGGGCCUUCGAAACCCCUUUCGUACAUGCUGGUCAUCACCUGGUACCCCCAGAACAAUUCCGGACUCCAAUACCCUUCGUCCAAUAUAUCGAUCUUCGUCUCCGGACCAUUCCGGAGUUCCUCGUCACGUCUAGGAUCUCAUCCGGGACUCCGAACAACCUUCGGUAACCACAUACUAUUUCCCAUAACAACUCUAGCGUCACCGAACCUUAAGUGUGUAGACCCUACGGGUUCGGGAACCAUGCAGACAUGACCGAGACACCUCUCCGGCCAAUAACCAAUAGCGGGAUCUAGAUACCCAUAUUGUCUCCCACAUGUUCCACGAUGAUCUCAUCGUAUGAACCACGAUGUCGGGGAUUCAAUCAAUCCCGUAUACAAUUUCCUUUGUCAAUCGGUAUGUUACUUGCCCGAGAUUCAAUCGUUGGUAUCCCAAUACCUCGUUCAAUCUCGUUACCGACAAGUCACUUUACUCGUCCCGUAAUGCAUGAUCCCGUGACUAACUACUUAGUCAUAUUGAGCUCAUUAUGAUGAUGCAUUAUCGAGUGGGCCCAGAGAUACCUCUCUGUCAUACGGAGUGACAAAUCCCAGUCUCGAUUCGUGCCAACCCAACAAACACUUUCAGAGAUACCUAUAGUGCACCUUUAUAGUCACCUAGUUACGUUGUGACAUUUGGUACACCCAAAGCACUCCUACGGUAUCAGGGAGUUACACAAUCUCAUGGUCUAAGGAAAUGAUACUUGACAUUAGAAAAGCUUUCGCAAAUGAACUACACGAUCUUGUGCUAUGCUUAGGAUUGGGUCUUGUCCAUCACAUCAAUCUCCUAAUGAUGUGAUCCCGUUAUCAAUGACAUCCAAUGUCCCUGGUCAGGAAACCAUGACCAUCUGUUGAUCAACGAGCUAGUCAACUAGAGGCUCACUAGGGACAUGUUGUGGUCUAUGUAUUCACACAUGUAUUGCGGUUUCCGGUCAAUACAAUUAUAGCAUGAAUAAUAGACAAUUAUCAUGAACAAGGAAAUACAAUAAUAACCAUUUUAUUAUUGCCUCUAGGGCAUAUUUCCAACACCAUGACCUAAACCUAAAGUCAAACUCAUCCCCACCGAUUCUUUCUAUCCGGCGCCACCGAGUUUAGAUGUCAUAGCCACUGCCACAAACCCUAGGCAAAUCGGUCUCACCGAUAGGGAUCUCGGUCUCACCGAGAUGGGAUUGUAAUCUCUCUGUUUCCCUUCGUAACGUUUCGGUCUAACCGAAGUGAGCGAUCGGUCCCACCGAGAUUGCAAUGUAAACUCUCUGUUUCCUUUUUGUAACAUUUCGGUCUCACUGAAAUGAGUGAAUUGGUCCCACCGAGUUUACCUGACCAACUCUCUGGUUAGCUUAUUACCAAAAUCGGUCUCACCGAUUUUGUGUAAUCGGUCUCACCGAGAUUACGUUAUGCCCUAACCCUAACCAUAUUGGUCCUACCGAGUUGCAUGUUGGUCCCACCGAAAAUCACUAACGGUCACUAAGUUUACUAAAUCGGUCUGACCGAGUUUGUUGAUUCGGUCCCACCGAGCUUGGUAAAUUGUGUGUAACGGUUAGAUUUUGUGUGGAGGCUAUAUAUACCCCUCCACCUCCUCUUCAUUCGUGGAGAGAGCCAUCAGAACAAACCUACACUUCCAACUUACCAUUUCUGAGAGAGAAUUACCUACUCAUGUGUUGAGGCCAAGAUAUUCCAUUCCUACCAUAUGAAUCUUGAUCUCUAGCCUUCCCCAAGUUGCUUUCCACUCAAAUCUUCUUUCCACCAGAUCCAAAUCUUGUGAGAGAGAGUUGAGUGUUGGGGAGACUAUCAUUUGAAGCACAAGAGCAAGGAGUUCAUCAUCAACACGCCAUUUGUUACUUCUUGGAGAGUGGUGUCUCCUAGAUUGGCUAGGUGUCACUUGGGAGCCUCCGACAAGAUUGUGGAGUUGAACCAAGGAGUUUGUAAGGGCAAGGAGAUCGCCUACUUCGUGAAGAUCUACCGCUAGUGAGGCAAGUCCUUCGUGGUCGACGACCAUGGUGGGAUAGACAAGGUUGCUUCUUCGUGGACCCUUCUUGGGUGGAGCCCUUCGUGGACUCGCGCAACCGUUACCCUUCAUGGGUUGAAGUCUCCGUCAACGUGGAUGUACGAUUGCACCACUAUCAGAACCACGGCUCAAAAAUCACCGUGUCUCCAAAUUGUGUUUGAAAGCUCCAAACCCUUCCCUUUAAAUUAUUGCAAGUUGCAUGCUUUACUUUCCGCUGCUCAUAUACUCUUUGCAUGCUUGCUUGAAUUGUGUGAAGAUUGCUUGACUUGUGCUAAGAUAGCUAAAAUCUGCCAAAAACUAAAAUUGGGAAAAUGUUAAGUUUUUAAUUGGUCAAGUAGUCUAAUCACCCCCCUCUAGACAUACUUCAAGAUCCUACAAGUGGUAUCAGAGCUUUGGUCUCCAUUUGCUUUGAUUUCCAUAGCUUUUGGUGGUCAUAGCCUUGGUUUCACAACCUAGGAGAGUAUGGCGUCUAGCGAGGGAAAUUAUCACCGUAGAGGUCCUUACUUUGAUGGUACUAAUUUUGCUAGUUGGAAGCAUAAGAUGAAAAUGCAUAUUCUCGGACAUAACCCCGCCGUUUGGGCUAUUGUGUGUAUUGGCUUGCAAGGUGAAUUCUUUGAUGGGAGAGAACCAAACCAUGAAGCUAGCGCGGAUGAAUUGAAGAUGUUGCAAUACAACGCUCAAGCUUGUGAUAUCCUCUUCAACGGAUUGUGCCCCAAAGAAUUCAACAAAACCAGCCGUCUUGAGAAUGCAAAGGAAAUUUGGGAUACUUUAAUUGAUAUGCAUGAAGGUACUGACUCCGUCAAGGAAUCCAAAUUGGUUGUGCUCCAAAGUCAACUUGACAAGUUCAAAAUUAAGGAUGGUGAAGGUGUCGCUGAAAUGUACUCUAGGCUUGCUCUUAUCACAAAUGAGAUUGCGGGCUUAGGAAGUGAAGAGAUGACCGACAAAUUCAUCAUCAAGAAGAUCCUAAGAGCAUUGGAUGGAAAAUAUGAUACCGUGUGCACAUUGAUCCAAAUGAUGCCCAAUUAUAAAAAUCUCAAGCCAACGGAAGUCAUUGGAAGAAUUGUUGCUCAUGAGAUGUCACUCAAGGAUAAGGAGGAACUUCACAACAAGUCAAGUGGUGCUUACAAAGCCUCAUGUGAAGCUCCUACAUCAUCAAGUGAGAAACAAACCUUCAAUGAAGAAUUGAGCUUAAUGGUGAAGAACUUCAACAAAUUCUACAAGAGUAGAAGCAAAGAAAGAAGCUCCAAGUUAAGGUCCUACAAUGACAAAAUAUCUUCCAGUCGAGAGCGCAAUUGCUACAAUUGUGAGAGACCCGGACACUAUUCCAAUGAGUGUACGGCACCCUACAAAAGAAGAGACGGUUCUCCCAAGAGAAGAAGUAGAAGAGAAGAAUCACCGCCAAGAGAGAGAAGGAGUAGAGAUGAUCGUUAUGAACGAAGAACAUCCCGGAGAAGCAAGGAUUCGAAAAGGAAGGACAAGUCAUCAAAGAGCUACACAAGACGAAGACAUCAAGCUCAUGUUGGUGAAUGGGUAUUCGGUUCCGACUCUGAACAUCACUCCGAGAGAAGUUAUCACUCCGACUCCGAACAUACUCAACAUGAAGGUGUUGCCGGUCUAGCACUUGUGUCAACCAACUCCAACGACAUAUUUGAUUCACCAAAUGAAGGACUUGGAAGAUGCUUCAUGGCUAAAGGCCCUAAGGUAACACACCCCGAGUAUGUUGAUUUCAAUAGUGAUGAAGAUGACUUGUUAGGUGAUGAUGCUUUACUUGUUGACAACUCUAGUGAUGAAUACUAUGAUGAAACGUCAAUUAAUCAUGCUAAUCAAGAUAAAAUGAAUGACAAUGAUAAGGAUAAGAUUGAUAUUCUUACUAAAGAACUAAACACUCUUAAGUUAGCUCAUGAAACUAUCUUAGGGGAUCAUCGAGAACUUUUGAGGACUCAUGAGAAGUUACGCUUUGAAAAGCUCAAUCUUGAGCAAGAGCAUGAGUUCUUAAAAGCAAUCAAUGAUGAUCUUCGCAAGAAAAGUUCUUCUUACAUUGCCAAGCGUUUACUCUUAUCCACUUACAUGCCUCAAGUCAAGUCUAGUAACAAGAACAAGAAGGAUUCUUCCUCUAGUAGUAACGAUAAUCAUGCUAAAUCCAAUAUUGUUGCUUCUAGUAGUUCUCUUGAUUCCACUAAUGAUUCUCUUCGCCAAGUUACACUUGAGCAAGAAAAUAGCUUAUUGAAGGGAAUUAUAUAGAAAGGUGUUUACAAGAGCCUUGCCGGGAGUAAGCAAUUCGAGGAAAUUGUAUGCAAGCAAGGAAGGCACUGGAAGAACCAAGGUGUUGGUUUUGAACGAAAGUUCAAUGCCAAUGGAGUUGAGUGGGAAUAAGAUCAAUACCCCAAGAAGAAGUUUGUUCCUCAACAAGAGAAGUAUGAUCCUACUUCCUUCAAGGGAACACAAGCUCAAGAUGAUCUUCCACCAUAAGACCACAAGAAAACAGGCAAGGACAAGCUUCAAGAGGAGAUUGAUGCAUUUGAAGAAGCCCCUAAGGCCUUGGUCAAGUGGGUUCCCAAGACUACGUCAAGUUCUACUUCAUCAAGCACGACUACAACUCCAAGGAUUCCCAUCAAGAUGAUGUCAAUCCCGAAGAAGAAGAACUAGAGAGUUCUUGAGGGUGACUCCACCAACAUUCUUCACUCAUAUCAUUAUGGCAAGGACAAGUGCAAUCAACUUCCACAUCUUGCACUAGUUCAAGGAGUCACAAACCCUCAUGUUGGUAAGGCAAGGGACAAGGUAACCUAAUGCUUUCAUGGACAUCAUCUUGUGUGUGCAUCACUCUAUGUCUAUGGAUAUACGUGUUUGUUCCUUGUGGGACUAACCCAUGUAGGUAUUGAAAGUGCAACUCACUCCAAAGGAUUGCUCCAAAUGAUCUUCAUCAACAUUGAGCAUCCACAUCAUCAACACCUACAUGAAGUCAUCAUCGACAAAACCCAAGGGUAGUUCAUCCCUCUAAGGGGGAUCUCACAUCUAGGGGGAGCUUAACUCUAAGAAUUGAGUCAAAGCAACUCUAAUGGUGUGAACACAUCAAUACAUUAUGUAAAAGUGGUAACCCCACUUGAGCUUAAAACGAUGAGUAUGACCUAUGAUCAAAUGUUCUCAUUCGACUCCUAAGUCAAUAUACUCAUAUAUAGAUGACCUAGUCAUCGCCAAUUGUUUGAUAGAUGCUAGAAUUGGUUGUGCAUGCUUUGCCACAUAUUUCAUUUGCCAUUUUAUUGUGUGAGCAUGUUGGUUGCAUAUUUAACUCAUUCAAGGACAUCCACUUGUUGUUUUGAUUGAUUGGCUUCUUUUUCUUUUGCCAAGUGGAUGAACAAGAAUGCCUAAGAACCUUCUCUAGCUAUCUAUGCUUUUCUUGUCUCAAACUCUAUUCAUGCUACAUCACAAAAUUUGAUCAAGUCAGAUUCGAAGCACUCUGUGUGAGGAGCACUCGGAGUCCCCGAUUCGUCAUAGAAUUAAACUUCCAAAACUUCUUUGUGCAUUCCGGUCUGACCGAUUCUACCAUUUCGGUCAUACCGAGAUCACUAAGUUGAUCUAGGUUUUCAGUCUCGGUGCAACCGAUUUGAACUUUUCGGUCUCACCGAGUUGCUGUAACUGUCAACAGUUAUGCAUCUCGGUGCCACCGAGUUGUUCCACUCGGUCACACCGACAGGGUCGGGCUAUAUAUACUCACGGGCAAAAAAUUGGAAACCUUCUCCAAACCCCUUCGCCUGCGCAUAGCUCACUCUGCCUCCAAGGUCUCCGGAUCAUCGACUUCGUCGCCAGCCGCCUCCAGUCGCUGGUCUCCGCCGCCGUCAACGGAAUUCAUCCCCGCCAUUGCCGCCAUAGCGAGUUCAUCGCCAAACUAGGGUAUGGACUCGAUCACAGUGCUAUCCCCGUCCGAUUCCUAGCACAUUGUGUUCAUUAUGAUUCUUGCCACGAUUGAAACGCUUCUAUCCAGUCAAAACAAUCUUUAGAUUAGAUGUGAAUUGAAAAUUUAGGGUUAGGUUUCCGCCGAAACCAUCUCGGACCCACCGAGUUGAGAAACUCUGUUCCACCGAUUCGGCUAAGGCCAUUGCACAAGUGAUUCUCGGUCUGAUCGAGAAUUGAAAAUUGGUGUGACCGAGUUUAGAACUCUGUGAAACCCUAGCAGUCUCGGUGCCACCGAUAUGUGACUCGGUCUGACCGAGUUCACUAGUUUAGGUUCCAAAAGCUGCUUCGGUAUCAUCGAGUUUGCAAAUUGGUUGAUCCGAAAUGCUUUCUGUGGAAAAUUAAAACUAAGUUUUUGAAUCAUUCUUUUGAAAAAACCUCUGCAUUUUGUGAUGCUCAUCCAUUCUAUCUCAACUACAUCUAUUCACAGGGUCAGCAGUUAGUGUUUGCAGCAUGUCAGACCAAAGUGAUAGCCAGAACAGGGAAGAGGAGCAGAUUCACAUGAGUGAGGGCACUAGUCCCUCUAGCACCUCAGAUGAUGGCAACAGGAGCACUCCUAGCAAUUUGCCCAAAGCAGCCACAAGGGCCAGAAGGAAGAGAACCUCAGACUCUGAGGAUGAAGAUUAUGUGGCAGCUGAAGAUGAGGCUACUUCCAAGAAGAUAGUGCUCAAAAAGGAGUAUGGCUCAACUAAAACCACCAAGCCAAGACUAGACAGGAAGGUCCCUGCCAAGAGGACACCUAUGCUGAAAGUCAGAGCUUCAACUCAAGAACUUGAGAAAUCUGAACCCAAAGAGCCUGCUGCAGAAGGAAAGAAAAGGAAGGAAAGGGUCAAGAAGACCAUGGCCAGAGUUGUUGGACAACCUUCAAUGAUGGAAGAGGAAGUAGAAGAAGAAGCUACUGCUCCAGCACCCAAGGCACAAAAGCUUAUGGGUGAUGCUAUAAGGUUAGGGGCUGCAUCAUCAAAGCCCAAAGAAGCACCCAAAGCUGCCUCCAAGGCCAAGUCUGCACCUAAGAGGAAUACCAGGAGUAUACCGGCUGCUGAGAAGAACAAGGCCCCAGUGCCUGAAGUUGCUGAGGAAGAAGAAGAUGAAGGACAAGUUCUGAGGAAGCUGAAACCUAAGAUUCCAGACCAAAAUGAUGCUCAUCCAGUGGCUGAGAACAUGAAGCUGAGAAAGGAUGCAGGGCUCAGGCAAUGGAGAUUGUCUGAUACUUAUGCAAUCAGGAGGAGGACUGCUGUUGACUAUAGGUUCCACACUAAGGAACAACAGGAUUUCUAUGAGACUGUGCUACUGGACAAGAAGCCCAUAGUUUGUGACAUGAGGUGGUGGACUGGAAAUACAUGAAGGCAAAUGAGGAUCACUACCCAGGAGUGUUUGACAGCUUUAAGGCUUGUGGAGUUGAUGAGUUUGUUGGACAGAAGUUCACAAACUGGAAUGAUGAGCUUGUAAUGCAAUUUUACUCCACAGCUCACUUUUAUCCUGAUGGCAAAAUAGUCUGGAUGUCUGAAGGUACAAGGUACCAAUCCACAAUUGAAGAAUGGGCUGAACUGAUCAAUGUACCAGAGGAGAGUGAAGAUGACUUGGAUGUAUACUCCAAGAAGAAGAAGGAUCACAAUUCUAUGUCACACAUGUAUAAGGAGAUACCAGAUAAAGCACUUGAGACUUUCAAGUUUGGGUCUGUCCAUUUCCUUGUAUCAGGGCUGCCAACGAUCAACUGGAUCCUAAGACACACUCUCUUGCCCAAGUCAGGUGACUACAACAUGAUCAGAGGGCAUGCAAUAAACUUGCUACACAUAUUUGAUGUGCCUCAGAAAUUCAAGGUCAUGAGCCUCAUUGUUGAGACGAUCAAGAGGACAACAGUUGACCAGAAGAGAAGCUGUGGGUAUGUCCCACAGAUCCAGGAGCUAAUCAACUCCAAGAUGGGCACAUGCAAAUACUUGUUGGACAAGGAACACUUUGCUAUAUACCCAGACUUUGAGGACAAUCAAGUAGUCAUGAAUGGGAAUGAACCAUCUUCAGUGCAAGCUCAAGAGAAGAAGGAGAAGGCAAAGAAGGAGAAGGCUGCCAAGAUGCCAACUUUAGAGGAGGCAUCUGAGUACUUUUUGAAGAGCAAGCAGGACCAGCUUGGUUACUUAAUAGCAUCAACUCUGAGGAUUGAGAAAGGGUUGGCCACCCUAACUCAAAAGCAGGAGAGCCUGGAAAGAAUCAUGGAACAAAAGUUCUGUGACUUAGAUGUGAAAGUAACUGAGAUCCAGUCUGUUGUGGAGCAGCUUCAGGAUGAUAUGCAGGAGAGGAAGGGCAAGACAACCACAGAUGCAUUUGCCAGAGUGCCUCGAGCUCAGAGGUCAGCUGCAGUGCCAGUGACAGACACCAGAGCCACUUCAUCCGCACCAGCUACAGGUCCUACCGCUCCAGUGCAACCAGCUUCAGCACCUCACCUCCAGUUCCAUCCACAUCAACUGAAGUCUUCAUCCAAGGAGCCAUCUCUACACCACCACAUCAAGACCAAGCCUGAGAGAUGAAAUAGUACUAUGCAUUUUCUAGGAACUUUUUGGUAACUUGUUGCCAAAGGGGGAGAAAAAUGUAUAGAUCAUGGGCUUCGAGAGUGAGAGUUUGCUUUUGUUCUCUCUUGCCUUCAUGGUUGAACUUUAUUUGCUUUUGCUUGCUUGAGAUACUACCUUAUUGUCUGUGUGAUACAAUGAUGAUCAUGUGUUUGAUCAUAUGCUAUCUUAAUGCUUGUUAGUUGACAAUAUCCCAUUUAUCUUUAUAUGGUCAUUCACUUUGCUUGGUGAUGAGUGCAUGAAUUCAAUCUUUAUUAUUUUGAGCGCUCCACCAAGAUGUUUGUGACAUGGAAGAGUAACCCAUGAACCUAACUCCUUGUGCAUUUGCAGUCUAAAGCAAAUCUUAAACUAUGCACAAAUUUUGGGGGAGCUCUUGCUUGUCACAUACUUCUCAAAGCGAUGAUGUUUUUCAAUAUUAUUAUCAGUUGUCGAAGCUUUGAUCUAUAUGUUGUCAUAAAUUACCAAAAAGGGGGAGAUUGAAAGUGCAACAAUCCCUAGGUGGUUUUGGUAAUUACUAACAACAUAUAGCUCAUUGAGCUAAUACUAUUCCAAGACAAAUAUUUCAAGAAAAGCUCAAUGAAUGGCAUGGCAUGGAUGAGGAAAGUGGACCCCUCAAAAUACUAAGGAUAAAAGGAUUAGCUCAAGCUCAAAAGCUCAAGACUCUACAUUUUAUAUUUUAGUGAUCCAAGAUCACAUUGAGUCUAUAGGAAAAGCCAAUACUAUCAAGGAGGGAUGAGGUGUUGUUUAAUGAGUUUCUUGCUUCAAGUGCUUAGUGAUAUGCUCCAAAAACCCUCAACUUUCUCAUAUCCACCUAUGACCUAAACCUAAAGUCAAACUUGGCCCCGCCGAUUCUUUCUAUCUGGCGCCACCGAGUUUAGAUGUCAUAGCCACUGCCACAAACCCUAGGCAAAUCGGUCUCACCGAUAGGGAUCUCGGUCUCACCGAGAUGGGAUUGUAAUUUCUCUGUUUCCCUUUGUAACGUUUCGGUAUAACCGAAGUGAGCAAUCGGUCCCAUCGAGAUUGCAAUGUAAACUCUCUAUUUCCUUUUUGUAACAUUUCGGUCUCACUAAAUUAGUGAAUCGGUCCCACCGAGUUUACCUGACCAACUCUCUGGUUAGCUUAUUACCAAAAUCGGUCUCACCGAGUUUGUGUAAUCGGUCUCAUCGAGAUUACGUUAUGCCCUAACCCUAACCACAUCGGUCCUACCGAGUUGCAUGUCGGUCCCACCGAAAAUCACUAACGGUCACUAAGUUUACUAAAUCUGUCUGAUCGAGUUUGUUGAUUCGGUCCCACCGAGAUUGGUAAAUUGUGUGUAACAGUUAGAUUUUGUGUGGAGGCUAUAUAUACCCCUCCACCUCCUCUUCAUUCGUGGAGAGAGCUAUCAGAACAAACCUACACUUCCAACUUACCAUUUCUGAGAGAGAACUACCUACUCAUGUGUUGAGGCCAAGAUAUUCCAUUCCUACCAUAUGAAUCUUGAUCUCUAGCCUUCCCCAAGUUGCUUUCCACUCAAAUCUUCUUUCCACCAGAUCCAAAUCCUGUGUGAGAGAGUUGAGUGUUGGGGAGACUAUCAUUUGAAGCACAAGAGCAAGGAGUUCAUCAUCAACACGCCAUUUGUUACUUCUUGGAGAGUGGUGUCUCCUAGAUUGGCUAGGUGUCACUUGGGAGCCUCCGACAAGAUUGUGGAGUUGAACCAAGGAAUUUGUAAGGGCAAGGAGAUCGCCUACUUCGUGAAGAUCUACCGCUAGUGAGGCAAGUCCUUCGUGGGCGACGGCCAUGGUGGGAUAGACAAGGUUGCUUCUUCGUGGACCCUUCUUGGGUGGAGCCCUCCGUGGACUCGCGCAGCCGUUAUCCUUCGUGGGUUGAAGUCUCCAUCAACGUGGAUGUACGAUAGCACCACCUAUCGGAACCAUGGCUCAAAAAUCACCGUGUCUCCAAAUUGUGUUUGAAAUCUCCAAACCCUUCCCUUUACAUUCUUGCAAGUUGCAUGCUUUACUUUCCGCUGCACAUAUACUCUUUGCGUGCUUGCUUGAACUGUGUGAAGAUUGCUUGACUUGUGCUAAGACAGCUAAAAUUUGCCAAAGACUAAAAUUGGGAAAAUGUUAAGUUUUUAAUUGGUCAAGUAGUCUAAUCACCCCCCUCUAGACAUACUUCAAGAUCCUACAAGCGGUGGCCUUACUUGGACCCGAGCGACGGCGACCUACCGUGUUCUACUCUUCCUUGUUUUCUAUGUGGCGCGGCCUCGUUGGCAGCGGGGCGGGGCCUCGGUGGAGCCGGCGAUGUCCUCUGUCUCGUUGUCGGCGGGCGGCGCCUCAGCGGAGUGGUGGAAAUCCUCCCCCACGUUGCCAGCAGGGUGGGGUCUCGGCUGAGCCGGUGAUGUCCUCUGCCUCGUUGUUGGCGGGGCGGGGGCUCGGCGGAGCCGACGGUUUCCUCUGCCUCGUUGUUGGCGUCGCGGGGCCUCGACGGAGCCGGUGGUGUCCUCUGCCUCGUUGUUGGCGCCGCGGGGCCUCGGCGGACCAGGGCCUCGUCGACGCCAGCAGAGCGGGGACUCGUCGGAGCCGACAUUGUCCUCUGCCUCGUCCUCGAUCUCCCUAAACAGCACCUCGCCCUCUUUGCUAGCCUCUUUGUAGGCGGCCGCAGCCUCCGCCACCCGCAUGCGGUACUGCCAGCGCUCGAGGCGGCCCUUGCGGGUGAAGCGGUACGAGUCGAGCAACGCCUCCUGCUUCGCCCGCUCCGCGGCGAUCUGCUCCUCCGCCUGCAGGUGCUCCUGGAGGAGAUGGUGGUUGUAGGCGGCGUCGGCCUGCGCCUCCCGGAACUGCUCCUCACGCAUCUGCCUCACCCUAUCCUUAUAUUGGGCACGGGCCUCACGGAUGGUCAUGGUGCAAUGCACCGGCGAGGAUGGCGCGGAGGAGGGGGUUGGCGCCGGAUCGUCGACUACCAUGUUCUCCAUUGGGACGUCGUCGUCCUUCGGCUGCCUGUCGGCCAGCCGGUCGCCAGCAAUGGCUGCCAUCUCCUUAUGGUCCGUCAUCCGCCCGUCCCGAAAGCGCUGCAGCGCGAGGAAGCCAUGGUGGGCAGUAGUGGUGUGGACAGGAGAAAGGGAAAGGAUGCGGAUGACUACGGCUAUGGCCGACGCAACAGUUUAUAUAGCAAUGGUGGGCGGGCGAAGGGACGAACAUGUGGCGCAGGAGUAGCUGCCUCGGCAACCGUGUAUCAUUAAUGUGUGCGGCAGAUGGACGGACGGACGACACUUGUGUCAUUUGAAGGCGGAGCAAUCGCCUGCACCGGGAAGCGGGGCGGCCGGCGCUGACUGUUUCGGGCGGAAAGCGCGCGUGGGCGAGGAGAUGACUUUACUUGGAGAGGAUGACAAUGGGGACCCACCAGGUCCAUAGCCUCAUGUACGCAAGUGCCUCCUUAUUAUAUAUAUAUAACUAUAAUUUCUUUUGCUUCCUCCUGGUUUCCUGACAUCACGGUCCCACACCAUUGUCAACCUAUGCACUCCCUCCUUUCCGGUUUAUAGGGCUUAUCUCAAAAUUUUAGUUUUUCCAUUUUAUAAGGCUCAAUUUGGUUGUUUUCCAUCACAUGUUCAGAUUCCAAGGUGCAUUAAAUCAUUGCAUGAAAGUAUUAAGAGAAAAUUGACCAAUGCAUGUACUUUAUGCAUGCAUGUAUUGCAAUUAAUGCAUUGAUAAACAUAAUUUUUUGAGGAUAACAAGAGCAUUAAUUAGGUGCUUUUGCAAAACUACAAAAAGUAUUCCACCACUCACCAUCUACCUUGAUUGGUGAGAUUUUUGAAUUGAGCAUUAUAAACCGAAAAGGAGGGAGUAGUCAAUAAACGAGAGAAUUGCACAAGAAGCGACCGACAGCUGGGACCAAGCAGCUCGAGCAGUAUUUGUGUUUUUGAGGUGUGAGCACUGCAGAGUUUUUCGAUGUUUACCCCAGAUAUUAAUUUUUCUCCUCUGAACAACAACGAAAACAUCGCUGCAGGUAUUAACUGGGCGGGAUGUGGCCCGUCUAGCCCAGGCCAGAUAUCCAGCCCAGAUAUCAAUUUUUUCAAGCUGAAAAUGGCUAGCCCAGCUAUACUUUUUUUUAGGAAUACCCAAGCAAGGUCAAGUUGUUAUUCUCCGCCCCGCUGGGCUGCAAAUCUUUCCUAGGAGGGAUGAUUAGGCUUAACAAGAAAAUGAGCUUUAAGAAACAAUAAAUGGGAUGUAAUUAUAAAAACUGGGUAGUAACUAUAAAAAAAUGCACCAAACAGUGAUUACUUUAUAAAAUAUUAUUUUUGGAUAUUAAAAAUUUUAAUUUCAUUAAUUGUUGCGAGCGCAAUGUUUUGUUGGAUUUUUACGUAAUAUAAAUUUGUAUUGAAAUUGUAUUUAAUCUGACUAGAAAUUUCGGGAUAAAAAUAUUCAGAUCCCAUCAAAGCGUGGGAAUUUUUAUUGAAUUCUAUUUUGAACGGUUGGUUUAAAUGGACUGUACUUUUAACAAACUGUAAAUGGGCUAUAGUAAAUUCCAUUAGAAUUCAAAAAUGGGCUACACAUUCUUACAAAUAUCAAAUGGGCUAUAAGCUCUCUGCCACACACUUCUGGCCUUACUAAGUUGACGCGUCCCCUAAAAAAACAGAGUUGAUGCGUAUGCAAGGCUUUGUCAACUUAUAGUCAACACACGGUUCCUGCAGCAGUGGCCGUUGGAUGUCCAUCCAACGGAUGACGUGCUUCUUCUUCAAUCUCGGAUAUUCUAGCUUCUCCUGCCCAAAAAAUGAUUCCUCCCCCUGACAUCUGGGGCGCACCGUUUCGGAAGCUAACCCGUGGGCCUACUAAGUUGACGUACCAAGGGCUUUGUCAACUUAGUCAAUAUAAACGAUUCUAGCUGCAGUGAUCGUACGAUGUCCAUCCAACGGCCGUCGUGCUUCUUCAACCUCUGGUCUUCUUGCUCCAGCCGCCCAAAGCAGCGCCGGUCGUGCCGCCUGCUCCUGCCUCCUGUGGCCGGCUGUGCUGCCGCGGAGGCCUCACCGCCCCCUACUACUCCCACCGCUGGCCAGGCCAUCCCUCCACUCACCCACACCCCAUGUUAUUCUGCGGCGACGGCAGCACAGCCGAACCAGUGAACUCUCGUACUCCUCUACGCGUGUGCAUCCACUGCCGCGUCUUCCCUGGCUCCGCGUCGUCCCCUUCCUAGGCCUCGCCGUCGUCCACCACCGUGGUGCUCUCGGCACGGCGUGGUCAACAUGGUCAAGGAACGACUUCCAUCAGACGUGGACUGUACGUGGAGAGGCUGACAGCUGGGUCCAUGGUAGCCGCAAGGAAGUGCCUCCUUAUUACGCGCAAAAUAAUUAUUCCUCCACCUGACAGCGGGGACCCACCGGACGGGCCACUGUAUUUCGCGAAAAAAAUGAUUCACCCCCUGACUACUGGGACCCACGAGCUACAUCUUCGCACGCAAGGAAGUGCGUCCGAAAAAAACGAUUCGCCCCCCUAACUGUUGGGACCCACCAGCUACAUCUUCGCACGCAAGGAAGUGCGUCCAAAAAAAUGAUUCGCCCCUCGACUGCUGGGACCCACCAGCUACACCUUUGCACGCAAGGAAGUGCGUCCGGGCAAAAAAAACGAUUUGCCCCCCUGACUGCUGGGACCCAGCAGCUACACCUUCGCAUGCAAGGAAGUGCGUCCGGGCAAAAAAACCCAAAAUGAUUCGCUCCCCUGACUGCUGGGACCCACCAGCUACAUCUUCGCAGGCAAGGAAGUGCCUGAUAGUCGGGACCAACCUGGUCGAAGCGUACAUAGCGUUGUCAUCCAGGUCGUCAACGUGUACGUACAUACUGGUCGAUGUAGAGGCGCGCACGUGUCGUAGUAGAGGCUCACACAUGUCGUAGUAGAGGCGCGCACGUAGCAUGUACACGUACUUACAGCGGCCAGGGUGCAACAAAAGAAAAUACGGCCACGUAUGUGUACAUACGGGCGGGGUCUCGAACGCCUACUCGCGCAUACGUACGGCGAGGGCUUGUGUUCAUGGGGAAGCAACGGAAUGCGUCGUGUUCAUGGGGAGGCAACGGAAUGCGUCGUGUUCAUUGGGAGGCAAUGGAACGCGUGGGAGCCAACCGGCUGGGUCGGAACGGAAUACGUGGUCGUGUUCAUCGGGAAGGCUUGGACGGAACAUGCGAUGGAAACGAGGCCUGGCGUACCGCAAAACGGAGGAAACGGACCUCCUACGGUCGAAACGAGGGUCCUGUUGAUCGGGAGGGGUGUGGCGUACCGCAAAACGGAGGAAACGAACCUCCUACGGUCGAAACGGGGGUCCGGUUGAUCGGGAGGGGUGUGGCGUACCGCAAAACGGAGGAAACGGACCUCCUACGGUCGAAACGGGAGUCCUGUUGAUCGGGAGGGGUCUGGCGUACCGCAAAACGGANNNNNNNNNNNNNNNNNNNNNNNNNNNNNNNNNNNNNNNNNNNNNNNNNNNNNNNNNNNNNNNNNNNNNNNNNNNNNNNNNNNNNNNNNNNNNNNNNNNNNNNNNNNNNNNNNNNNNNNNNNNNNNNNNNNNNNNNNNNNNNNNNNNNNNNNNNNNNNNNNNNNNNNNNNNNNNNNNNNNNNNNNNNNNNNNNNNNNNNNNNNNNNNNNNNNNNNNNNNNNNNNNNNNNNNNNNNNNNNNNNNNNNNNNNNNNNNNNNNNNNNNNNNNNNNNNNNNNNNNNNNNNNNNNNNNNNNNNNNNNNNNNNNNNNNNNNNNNNNNNNNNNNNNNNNNNNNNNNNNNNNNNNNNCUGCGGUCGAAACUGGGGUCCUGUUCAUCGGGAGGGGUCUGGCGUACCGCAAAGCAGACGAAACAGACCUCCUACGGUCGAAACGGGGUCCUGUUCAUCGGGAGGGGUGUGGCGUACCGCAAAACGGGACUCCACGGGAUACUGUACAUCUCCACCGUCGACCUCCUCCAGCCUCCACGGGCUCCUGUUCAUCCAGCCUCCACCGCGCGCUACUCCACCGGCUACUGUUCAACCACCCCUCCACCGUCUACUAUUCAUCCAGCCCUCCACACCACGGGGUCCUGUUCAACCACCCCUCCAUGGGCACCCUUCCAUCGUCUACUGUUCAUCCAGCCCUCCACCACACCACGGGGUCCUGUUCAUCCAGAGGCAACGCCACCGCUCACUGUUCAUCCAAACCCCCCGCAACGCUCACUGUUCAUCCAAUCGAUCGGCUUCAGUUAGCAGCAGUAGCGAAGGAAUCGCUCGAUCUGGUUCAGUUAACAACCAUCAAUCGAUCGCUCGGAUUCAGUAACGUGUAGCCUGCAGUGCAAUCGCUCGGGUUCAGUUAGAGCUCAACGCCUCGCUCGGGUUCAGUUAGAGCCAACGCCUCGCGCACACACGCGUACAUGCACGAGAGAAACACGCAUCGCUCGGCCCCGACCUCCCACCGUAAUCGGCAACUCCCUGAAAUUUUCCUCCCCCUCGCUUCUACCACGGUUUUUUCCGUCAUGGACGGCCCAAAGAAUGUCAUGCAGCUGCAUCUCCGGCCCAGCCAGGACGAAAAGCCCAUUUUCUGUCAUGAUUUUUUGUCAUAGAAGUAGGAGCCCACCACAUCUAUGAUGAUACCGGGUUUUGUCACAAUUAUCGUCAUAGAAGUGUCAUAUGUAUGACAUAAUUUUUUUUGUUCGGCCCAAAAUGUCACAGAUGUGUAUUUUUUUUGUAGUGGCAACCACAGGGCACGAUUCCUUGUGCUUCCUUGACGCAUAUUCCGGAUAUCAUCAAAUUAAGAUGAAAGAAUCCGAUCAGGCCGCAACGGCAUUCAUCACUCCAUACGGGCCCUUCUGCUUCAAUACUAUGCCUUUUGGGCUCAAGAACGCCGGCGCAACUUACCAACGCAUGAUUCAAACAUGCUUGGAAAAACAGAUCGGCAAAACUAUGGAAGCAUACGUAGAUGACAUAGUCAUCAAGACCAAACAUGUAGAUUCAUUGGUGGAUGACUUACGCCUUACAUUUGACAACCUCUGAACAUAUGCCAUACGGCUCAAUCCGGAAAAAUGUGUUUUCGGCGUUCCAGCUGGAAAACUGCUUGGGUUCAUUGUUUCCAAUAGAGGAAUUGAAGCAAACCCCACUAAAAUCCGAGCCUUGUCACAGUUGGCAACACCAACAGAUCUCAAGCAGGUCCAAAAAUUAGCUGGGUGCGUGGCAUCUUUAAGCCGUUUUAUCUCCAGAUUAGGGGAAAAGGCGUUGCCAUUAUAUCGUUUGCUACGCCGCACUGACAACUUCGUGUGGACGGACGCUGCCACAGCCGGAUUGGAGGAAAUAAAGGCUUUGUUAGCAAGCAACCCAAUCCUGGACGCACCAAAUGUCGACGAACCAAUGCUGCUCCAUAUCUGCAACUCACCAAGUAGUGAGUGUAGUGCUCGUCGUUGAGCGGAAUGAGGAGGGACACAAAUUCCCAAUUCAAAAACUGGUAUAUUAUGUAUCAACGGUCCUUACACCAUGUAAAUCCCGAUACCCGCAUUAUAAAAAGAUAGCAUAUGCGGUCUUCAUGGCAUCCCGCAAGCUGCGGCACUAUUUUCAAGAGUGCUCCAUCACGACCGCUUCUGAAGUACCACUUAACGAUAUUAUAAAUAAUCGGUACGCCACCGGCCGGAUUGCCAAAUGGGCCAUUGAGCUCUUACCAUUUGAAAUAAUUUACAAGCCACGUCGAGCUAUUAAAUCUCAGGUGUUGGCUGACUUCGUCGCUGAAUGGACAGAGGCCGAAAUCCCUAAAGAAUAUGGCACAUACUCCAACUGGGUGAUGCACUUCGACGGCUCUAAGAUGUUAGAUGGAUUAGCGGCUGGUGUCGUUUUUACAACCCCCACAGGAGAUACAAUCCGUUAUGUGCUCCAAAUACUGUACACAGAUUCUAACAAUGCAGCCGAAUACGAGGCCUUAUUGCACGGUCUCCGGAUAGCUGUCUCCAUGGGCAUACAAUGCCUUGAAGUGUGCGGGGAUUCAAACCUUGCAAUAUCUCGAUAAAUAGAGACUUCGAUGCAAAAGAUUCGAAGAUGGCGGCUUAUCGUAAUGUCAUACUCAAAAUUUCAGCUUGAUUUGAAGGGCUCGAGUUUCAUCAUGUGGCUCGAGAGAGUAAUCAAGCGGCGGACAUACUUGCCUGCAUGGGUGCUAAACGCGACCCCGUCCCACCUAACACCUUUGUUGAGAGGCUUUUUAAGCCAUCCGUAGUGUGGCAGGAUGGCAGCGGCAACAUUGUUCCAGAGCCAACCAUACCCCCAGAUUCCAAACAAAACUCCGAUAUCAUCGGGGGUUCGAACAUCAAGAUAACACCAUCGACCCACAAAAUCAUGGCUGUCAUCGCCCCGUGGACCGAACCUUUCCUCGCCUACCUUACUAGGAACGAGCUCCCUGAUGAUCAAACGGAGGCCCGUCGCAUUGUUCGACGUUCGAAGACUUACAAAGUUCACGAGGGGGAACUGUACAAGAAAAGUACAACUGAAGUCUUACAACGGUGUAUCUCCGAAGAAGAAGGACGACAGCUCUUGGCCGAAAUACACGCUAGUCUUGGUGGCCAUCACGCCGUUGCUCGGGCUCUCGUAAGUAAGGCCUUCUGUAUGGGUUUCUUUUGGCCCACAGCCCGAGCAGACGCGCAAGACCUUGUACAAUGAUGUGUUGGAUGCCAGCUUUUAUCAAAUCAAAGCCACAUGCCACCCACUGCUUUGCGAACAAUCCCCAUUACGUGGCCUUUUGCGGUCUGGGGGCUCGACAUGGUCAGACCCCUUAAAGGGGGAAGCCAUAAGAAGAAAUAUUUACUGGUUAUGGUCGACAAAUUCACUAAGUGGAUAGAAGCCAAACCAGUCAAAACGACCGAGGCCGGACCAGUUAUAGACUUCAUAUCCGGUGUGGUGCACCGUUAUGGUGUAUCGCUAGUAUCAUUACUGGCAACGGUUCUAACUUUACGGCCGGUGAGGUAAAAACCUGGUGCGCUAAUUUGGGCAUUAAGCUCGAUUACGCCUCUGUAUAUCACCCUCAGACAAAUGAUCAGGUCGAGCGGGCUAACAGCUUGAUCAUGAGCGGCAUUAAACCCAGACUAGUACGAUCCUUGCGCGAAUCAGACAAGCACUGGGUUGAAGAACUCGAUUCCGUACUCUAGGGGCUGCGUACCACACCCAAUCGCACGACUGGAUAAACACCUUUUUUCAUGGUGUACGGCGCCGAGGCAGUACUGCCUUGUGACAUUAUUCAUGACUCACCUCGAGUGUGCAUGUAUGAAGAGAGGGAGGCCGAGCUCGAUCGACAGGAUGAUCUGGAUGGCUUGGAGGAGGAGCGCGACGUUGCGAAGGCCCGUUCCGCAUUUUACCAACAGCAAGCCCGACGAUAUCAAAGCAGGGAAGUACGGGCAAGGACUUAUAAUGUCGGUGAACUCGUCCUGCGCCUACCAGAGAAGAAAAAGGACAAGCUCAAGGCCCAAUGGGAGGGUCCCUUCAUCAUAGAUGAAGUUCCCACUUGAGGAGCCUAUCACCUGCGCAAUGCUUCGGAUAAUCGUUUAGAGCCAAACCCAUGGAACGCCGCUCGGCUCUGUAUAUUCUACGCCUAAAUCCACACUUGUAACUUUUUUUCUCUCGUCUUUUCUCUUUUUCACCCCUCUUUUCUAUUUUCAGUUUUUACAACUUCUACCAGUGUUCGGAUCAACCGUACACCCGAGGGCUAUACAUCAUCAAAUGUAGACACCCCUUAUCACCUGGGGGGUUCUUUUUACAGAAGCUUAUUCUGAUUAUUAUUUUGGAGUGUCAAGCUCACCGUAUAUAUGUGUUGUCUACUCAUAUGUGUCCUGUCUUCGCCAUUAUAUGCACCUUUAUGACUUAAGUUUUUGCCAAAUUGGGUUGCCUGGCUCUUGUGCUUAUGCCCUACAUUUCCUCUUGUUCGGCUAGGGCAUAAAGGGAGCACCUCUGCCAUUGUUACAGACGGGUUAUCCGGAUGUGUACCUCAGACGGGUGAAGCCGAAAGCUAGCAUUCUUAAGGGAAUAAUCGAUCGGCGGACAAGAGACAAACUGCCCACGUUGCAAUAUACGCCCCCAUAUUAUAAAGUGUAUUGUGAUCUCCCCAUCACAGUUUAUGUAUGCGCGAAAAUGCAUGCUGGCACAGGGAAAGGAACCCUUAACGGAACUAUUCUCUCUGGAAGAUGUUUCUUACGAUCAAAUGUAGUAUAACAUAACUCCCCGAAUACAACUUGUCUGUUCAAGCAACUAUGACCGGACCGCCUAGUUUCCGAACAUACCUUGGUGUUUACCAAUGGUCUAAAAUAUUCGAAAACACUCCAAACAUCUGGCUUUGGAGGUUGAAGCGGAAAGUCUGCCAUGACAAUCGUUUUACAAUUCGGCUGGAGAAAAGUUUGUUGAUGAAGUACAUUACUACUUGGACUCAAAAACUUACUCUUCCUCUAGACCCUCUAGUAGGUUGUCUAGUUUACAAUCCUAUUGAGAAAACUUAGCUGCCGUUUUCACUUGGUCAUACACUAAGCUAACAGGGAUUUCUUGUCCAUCUGGUCCCCGAGGUCCGACCCGGGCCAUAUAAUUCGGAUCAAGCUUGGUAUAUCAUGUUUUUACCAUGGCCCAGGCUUCUCGAGCGCCUUCCCGACAUGCUGAUAUCUUCCAUAGCUCCAAACGGUGACGAGCUCCCUUGAAUAAAUUUGCAAGCUCAUCCAUACUUCCUAGAGGGGAAUUAGAUGGCCAUAACGCCUUAGCAAUGUUCCUCGUUGCCUUUCGAGCUCGCUCAUGCACUUUGGACAGCUCUUGUAGCAGGUCGCCUUGAAAUCCGGACACUUCUCCUUCGGGACGACCGGUUAGCACACCUACAGAAGCAAACUUGUCAAAAUUUCAAACAGGAGACCAUUCUUGACUAAUAGGUUACAAUGCAUAUUGAAUAUGUCGCCUUUCAAUUUCUUGUUCUCCUUCAAAGCAUCCGAUAAUUGGGCUCUCAAAUCCUUCAGUUCUUCGGCCUGCUUGAUGUUGGCAUCCUAAAGUUUGUUCUUCUCAUUAAUGGUCCGUGUCAAAACACGUUGACCAGCGGCUUCUUGCCCUUUGGCAUGUUGUUUAUCUGCUUGAGCAGCCCUUAGCUUCUCCUCCAGCCGAUCUGUCGAGCCUACCAACGAGACACAAGCAUAAUUAGGAAACCUCGUUGUAUUCACGGAGCCUUAUCUCCGAACUACUGCUGCACUUACCAUCAGGUGCCUUCUUGGAUUUCUUUAAAUCUUCGAGUUCAGCAGUAGCAGCAGACAGCUUUGUUCGGCAUUCUUCAAGCUCCUUGGAUAACUUUUUACUCCUCUCCGUGAGUAUCUAACAAAGUAACGACUCUUAAAUCAGUUGGGCCAACUGCUUCAAGACUCGAGGGCUACUGGCAUAUGAUUAUUGAAUCUGCCCAAAAAUUCUUACCCGCAUAUCCUUUGAAAGCUGGUGAGUUGGCGGGGUUGAACCUGGCGAAGUGCGAGUACCUUGCCGAUGCCAUCAUCGACUCCUUCCACAAUGUCAACUAGAUUAUGAUAUGCGUCGCGACCACGAUAAUGUGAUAAGUUCCUUCUAUAGUUUGCUGGGAUUUUUGGGUCCUUCCAGCUCGAGUU